UUGGAGGAAAGGUAGUGGAGAAAGCCUUGCUAGACUUGGGAGCAAGUGUGAAUUUGCUUCCAUAUUCUGUCUACAAGCAACUGGGACUUGGAGAGUUGAAGCCAACAGCAAUCACUUUGUCUCUGGCAGAUAGAUCAGUGAAAAUUCCAAGAGGGGUAAUUGAGGAUGUAUUGGUUCAAGUAGAUAAUUUCUACUAUCCUGUAGAUUUUGUUGUUCUUGAUACAGAUCCUACUGUAAAGGAAGCUAAUUUAGUUCCUAUCAUCCUUGGAAGGCCAUUUCUUGCAACUUCAAAUGCAAUCAUCAACUGUAGAAAUGGGCUUAUGCAACUCACUUUUGGUAACAUGACACUGGAUCUAAAUAUUUUCUAUAUGUCUAAAAAGCAAAUCACUCCAGAAGAAGAAGAGGGUCCAGAAGAGCUAUGUAUUAUUGAUACUUUGGUGGAGGAGCACUGCAAUCAACAUAUGCAAGAUAAGUUGAAUGAAAGUUUUGUGGAUAUUGAGGAAGGUUUUUCUGAAUCUCCUAAUGGGCUUGCUACUCUACAAAGUUGGAGAAAGAUAGAAGGAAUUCUACCUUUGUUCAAUGAAGAAGAGGAGGCAGCUGUUGAAAAAGAAAUUCCAAAACUCAAUCUGAAGCCUUUACCUAUGGAGCUGAAAUAUACAUAUCUUGAAGAAAAUAAUCAAUGUCCUGUCGUAAUAUCUUCAUCUCAAACCAAGUCUCAAGUGAAGGAUGCAAGCUUCAAAUGGGAUCCGGGCAAACUGAAUCAGGAAGGGCAAAAAGUUUUGAUGUAUGACACAAGACUCCAUAUCUUUCCUGGGAAGCUCAAGUCAAGGUGGAUUGGUCCAUUUGUUAUUCACCGAGUAUAUUCCAAUGGAGUGGUGGACUUAUUGAAUUCCAAUGGCAAGGACAGCUUUAGAGUCAAUGGAUAUCGUCUUAAGCCGUUCAUGGAGUCAUUCAAAUCAGAAAAGGAGGCAAUCAACCUCCUUGAACCUCAAAAAGCCUAAGUGAAAUGGGUUUGCUGGACGUGGUUUUACCACAGUCCAAAAAUUUUUGUAAAUUUUGUAAAUUUUCAAGUUGUUUCCAUGCUUUUAAUCUUAGUUUUUGAUUUUAAAUCAUGUUUUUAGGUGUGUUUUAAUCGUUUUAUAUGAUCCCAGGCGGAAGAAAUUUCAAGGGGAUUGAAAAGAAAAAAAUCGGGUCGAAAUUGGAGCCGAAACAGAGCAAAAACAGGGGAAAAACAGAGCUCUGCGAAAUUUCGCAGGGUGAAGGAAACUUCUGCGAAAUUGGCAUUUUGCUGCCAAACCAUUCCGCAGCACUGUAGAAGCCUCUGCGAGUGUAUUUCGCAAUUGCGAAAGUGGAUUUGGCACACGAGUGCCACUUCGCAGCACAGUGACAUCAAUUUCGCAGCUGCGAAACUCACUGCGAAGUUGCUGCGAAAAUGGCAAGUUGCUGCGAAAUUGGCGUUUUGUUGCGAAACGUAAUCUGACCCCUGGGCUUCCGUUUUUCCUAUUUAUACCUGUCAAAAGUGCUGCGAAAAAGGUUUCAAAAAUUAGAGCACCAUUCUCGCAGCCCUUUCAUCUUCUUCGCCAAGCCACGCCGUCCGUUUCUCCGGUCGUCUUCUCCGUUUAGCAGCGCCGGCCAAAGAUCGAUAGCCCAAAAAUGGCACGAACGCGAGGGGCAAAGUCUUCAUCCCCUUCGAACCGCAAAAGGAGUCUGCGAAAGGAGCCAAGUUCAGGCUCUGUUCCAGAACCUGCUCCAAAGCCUUCGCCGUCGAGACCACAACCUUCUCCAGUGAAGCCGGCGCCACCAAAGCCGCCGGCAAGGCGAUAUUUAACCAGGUCAGGUGGUCAGCCAUUGAAGAAGAAAGCCAGAGUUGAGAGCUCUGAACCAAUCGAUUUGACUGAGCAAUCCCCUGAGAAAUCACCAAAUCCUUCACCGGUACAAAUUCCAGUGCCAUCACCGGUUCCCUCGCCAAUUCCCUCACCAGAAGCAACUCCAAUUCCAUCGCCGGUACCAUCUCCGGCACCCCAAGAAAAAGCUCAGGAGCCUCAAGCGCCAAUUCCAGAGCCCCAAAUUGCAGCUGAAGCACCUCUGGAAGAAGUGAUCCGAAGGCCAAUGCUGCCUCAGCCCCCAAUCGAAGGAAACCUGGAUUGCCGAACUCGGGCAUUCCAUUCUGAGCUUUGCUUCGAUUUAACAGCAUUCAGAGUGAGGCCAGAGCUUGCCCAAUCCUUCCAACUGCUGAGGAGAUAUCAUAUGGAGCAUCUGCUAGCUCCAAGGGAUUUUUUCUAUCCCCGGGUAGUCACGGAUUUCUACCAAACCAUGACAACCAAAGAAGUAAGAAAUCCAACUCUGAUUCAUUUCAUAAUUGAUGGAAGGCAUGGUAUUUUGGGAGCAAGACAUAUUGCUGAAGCCCUGCAAAUUCCUUUUGAGCCAACUCAAUUCGACAAUUUUAAAGCUUGGACAAAUCCUACUGAGUUAGAGAUGGUUAGCACACUAACCAGAGGAGCUGCAAAUCGAUCGCAUUUGUUGAGGGGGGAGCUACCUCCAGUUAUGUUUUUGAUUGAUGCCUUUUUGAGGCAUAAUAUCUAUCCCCUGCAGCAUUGGACCCAAAGAAGGGGAAUUCUCCUAGAAGCCUUGUACAAAAUGUCUGAAGGAUUCUUCUUUGGGCCUCAUCAUCUGAUCAUGGCAGCCCUUCUAUACUUUGAGGAGAAGGUUCACAAGAAGAAGCUUCAAAGAGCAGAUUGCAUUCCACUCCUCUUCCCAAGGCUGCUAUGCCAAGUUUUGGAGCAUCUCGGAUACCCCUCUGAGCCUCAGCAGGAAAGAAAGAGAAUAUGCCGUGAGCCUUUUACCCUUGAUAAAUGGAAUAAUAUGACGGCCUACAAAAUUGAUCAGCCUGGGCAGCCUCAGCCAGCAGCAAGGAGAGUCUCCCCAAGACAUAUACCUGAAGGUAUAACACUUGCUACUCCUGCCAUCCCUCGAGCUCCACCAGCUGCACCUGCUCCAUCACAGCCAUCCACAUCAGCUGAGCCGAGGAUGGCCAUCCCUAUAUCCGAAUAUCGAGAGCUGUGCCGUGCAUUGGAGACUCUUACAGCUUCUCAGAGCAAUCUUGCUCAGGAGUUGGCAGCCAUUAAAGCAUGCCAGGAGCAGAUGUUAGCCUCUCAGACUCAACAAGCUGCCAUCCUAAGGCAGCUUCAAGUCCAUUUCGAUCUGCCACAAGCUGUAGAGCCCUCUAUUCCUACUCCACCAGAGCCACACUCUCAGCCUUCAGAGUCUCAUCCUCCAGAACCCGAAGCACCAGCUGAUCCACCUACUGAGGAGGCAGAUCCUUCUGCCUAGCACCAUCACCCCCCUCAUCAGACAUUAUAUAUAUAUUUGCUGUUUAUGUUUUUAUGCAUGUUUGUUUUGUUUUAGUUGAAAAGAAAUCCCAGUAUUUUGGUACUAUAUAUGGGAUUCCUUGUGUUACUUGUCUUUAGUAUUGUAAUCACAUGAACUCAAAGUAAUACAAGUUGACUAUUUCUUGUUAAAAGUUAGCAUUAAAGUUUCCUUAUUUCCUUUUCUCACAUAUUCUAUUCUUUUUGAAACAUGUGGUUUUCCCCAAUCAAUAUUCGAAUUUGAUAUCAGCAUGGAGGUACCACUUCCUCCCUUUUAUUACAGUCACUCAAAUCACAUUGAGGACAAUGCUCAGUUCGGUUGGGGGGUAUGAGGAAGGAAGUAUUCUAAACCUUUUUGGUAUUGCAAUUAUAUUGGUUAAUUAGUUGUAGAUUUUACUUUUUACUAGUGUUACUCUAUUCUCCAUGAAUUUUGAGGAAAAAUUUUCAAAUUAAACCAAGAGAAAUUGAACUGUUGUUUUUCACUUGACUUAGAGUAUGGAUUAUGCUUACUAAAGUGGUUCAAUUGUUGAAACUUCUACUGAAAUUGAAUUGAGUUCUUCCACUUUAAGCUAUCCACACACUGUGCACAUUAGUUUCCGAUUAUAAGAUGAAAAGCUAUUUCCCUCUUGACUUAGUAUAUUUUUGGGACUUGGUAUAUUUGACCUCAUUUGAUAAAAAUUGAAACACCCUGCAAAAGGCCAAUGAGCCUUUGAAAUAAAGAAAGUUGUUUGCUUGCCUUGAAACCCGAGCAAGGUCUGAGGGGUAUAUGGUGAAAAUCUUUAAAGCCUGGUGCCCUAAGCCUUAAUUGGUUGGGAGUCACCGACCUCAAUGCUCGUUACAAGGGUGAAUAGGUAGAGUUAGCAUAUGGUAGAUGCUUGGGUAUUAGAAAUUCAUUCUUAAAAGUCCGGGGAAAAAUCCGAGGAGUUAGUGGUUGAAAGAUCCUUAAAACUUGGUGCCCUAAACCUUAAUUGGUUGGGAGUCAUCGAUGGACCCCCAUUACAUGGACAAGUCAGAAAGAGUACCCCAUAAAGCUACCUUAAAAAAAAAAAAAAAAAAAAAAAAAAAAAAAAAGAUGAAAGUGUGUUCUUUUCUUAUUGAUUUUGGUCAGUUUGCUAAAGUGUUGAAAAGAGAUAGGUUGGGGGGUGAGAUUAGUAGCAUAUUAUUCUCGGAACCUAAGGAACCAAUACACAUAGAUUUUUGUGGAAGAUUGAAGUUUAGUUCUUAGAAAAUGAAAUGAUUUUAAAACUUCAGUUUGCAUAAUGCACUCCCUUGAUUGACAGUGUUUAGCAUAGGUGUUAUGACUCUUGUUGAGAUUUGGGUUUGUAUUUCUUUAAUGAUUCAUGUGAGAAAUAGAUCAUCAUGCCACUUGAGAAUUAUUUUCCUUUUAGCAUGAUGUUGUAAAUUUUAGAUUAGUUUGCUAUUUAUUUUUUAUUUUCUCUCCUAUAUUGCUAAGGGACUAGCAAUAUGUCGGUUGGGGGGAGUGAUUACUACUCAAAAAGUGCUAUUUGAUAGCCUUUAAUUAAUCCUUUUUAACACUUUUGAGUAGUAGUUUAGGCCUUUUAACUCAAUUGGCAUGUUAAGGAUCCUUUAAAGCAAUUUUGAUCACUUUGUGCAAGUUUUGGUGUUUUUGUUAGUAUUUUGAUCACCAAAGCAAGUCAAGAAUGAGGAGAACUAUGAGGAAUCAUGGGCAAAGCUUAGAAUUCAAUUGCCAAGAGUGAAUCCGGAUUGCAAGGAGAAAAAGCAAAGAGAAUCUGUCAUGAAGCCUAUUCUUGAUGACAGUCGUAGCAGCCACUUUUGGAGCACUUUCUGAAGUCCAAAUGAUGCAAGCUAUAUACCAUUUCAAAGCUCAGGAAGUCAACAAUCCAAUGCUUCAAACGGUGCGCGAUUCGGAGUUGAAACGAAGAAGUUGCAGCCAUUACAAGCCAGUCACUCUAAAGUGUUGCGGAAUCAGCCUUUUGUUGCGAGAAUUUCGCAGCACUUUUGUACAGUAAGGUGUUUCUCCUUCUGACGAUGCACGAACCAUGCCGCGAGAGGGAAGCUAGGAACUUCAAGAUGGAAGCCAACUUUGCAGCCUGGUGAAGAUAGCUUGGUCUUGCGAAAUAAUUUCGCAGCCCUCUUGGGUGUCUGCGAAAUUUCGCAGGCACCACUUUUUUCCUGCGAAAUGGCUCCGGAAGCCUCCCGAAGCUUGCUACCGACAUUGGGAGAUAUUUUCCAUUAGAUUUUUGUUGUCUAAAUUCCAAAAUACUCCUUGUAAACCACCAAUUACAUGAUUCCUUAGUUUUUAAGUUAGUAAAAAGACCAAAUAUCUAUGUAAUAAUUAGUUUUAUAUUAGUUUGCUAUAAAUACCUCUCGGGAGCAUGUUCUCAGAGAGGAGUUCCUUCUGUAACCAUUUUGGUAAGCAAGUAAAGUCUUUUCUUUCUACUGCCUUACCUUCUCACUUUGUAUUUUCAUUUUAUUUCUAAGUUAUGAAUUCUCUGAGGAGCUUUCCCCAGAGAAUGAGUAACUAAACCUCCAAUUCCUUGGAGCUAAGGUUGCCGGGGAAGGUUCCAAGUGCAAGAAUGCAAAGCUCUGUGGUUUUAGCUAGUAAUGAAGAGGAAGUGAAAUCCUUUAGUGAUUUCAAUGUUUUUAGUUAACUUAAAACACCUUGGAGUCACCUGGGCCAACACUUGGUAAGGCAAGUGAUUUCCAACCGUGGAAAUGCACUAGUUUACCCCUUGCGAGCCUCUGGUAGGUGACUUCAAGGUAGGAUUUUCUGGAAUUACCAACACUUGGUAAGCUUUUGGACUCCUAGGAGACAUCCAUUAGUUAUCUCUUGCGAGUUUGUGAAGGGGAAUCCAAGGUUAAAGAUCACCUUGAAUGGUAAGUGCUCGUGAGAGGCAUGAACCAUUGCAAGUUGUAUCAGUGAGAGAAUUAAAGUGAAAUCUAAUUGAAGGAGUCUCUGUACAUCACCGGUUAGAGAAUUGACUAUAAGUUGAAUCUCUAAUGCGAGGAAAUGAACCAUCUGACCGGAGCUAUGUCUUUUGCAUGAGGAACCACCCCAGUGAACCUAAAUCUCCAAGGAAUGCUUUUCUUCCUAAAUUAUUCCAAACUUCUGUUAAGUUAGUUAGUUUAAGUCUAAACCUUUACCAAUCAAACUUUGUGUUUUAUUCCUUAAGCUAACCGUGAAAUGAAACAAAACCAAUUCACUUGGAAUUGGUAUCCUUGAUUGCUUGCAAAUCAUUCCCAGUGAACGAUCCUUAGAGCCACUAUACUAUAGUAGCUUUGUAUUUGCUACCCUAGUGUAUGGUGUUAUAGGUAUAAAUUUUGUUGAUCACUUCCUCAAUCAAGGAACACCAGCUGAACACAAAUCAGCUGAGACACCAAUUGGGCAUGAGUCAGUGCGUUAGAGGAUCAAGAAGAAGAAAAAGAAGGAACUGUUGGAAUUAGUAUGAGUGUGAAGAGAAAAGUAUAUAAAUAAGGGGAAGUAAAAGCAAAGUUCAAAAAGCUAUAUUUUUUUAUUGUUGGUGUAUGGUUGCAUGAUUAUCCCUAUAAAUAAUAGGAGUUUUUUGGUAUUCUACUAGUAGUUGAAGCAUAAUUUCAUAAAUUAAUAUUUAGAGCGGGGUGGGGUGAGUUGUGACAAAAUUCAUACCCGUCCCAAACCUUGGUUCAGAUUUUUAAAAUAUUCUCAAACUUAUCAUAUACCCAACUUUUAUAUUUCAUACUUGUCCUAAUAGAGGCACGUUAGGCCGGGUUACUUGAGUAACCUACAUAAUUGUCAUCCCUAGUUGAAAUACACUUUUUGGCAGUGGCCACCAACUGAGCUAGAAGCUUGAUUGAUUGACCUACAAGAUUAGUUCUCAUCAUUUUAAAAAAAGUUCUGGCUUUGGUUGUGAGUGCAAUUGAAUCUAAACUGGCAUUUGCUUAAUGCAUCUACUUCAAUCCUAAACUUCUUACUUCUUAAGCCUCAAUUGUUGUUAGGAUUUUGGAAAACCCAUUUCCUUAAAUUGUAAAUUUAAGAUAAAAUAAAAUAAAAGUGAGACAUUUCUUGAUUGAAUAUUGUUAAAGGUCCCUUGGCAUUAAGACUUGGUUGAAGCCUUGGAAGAUUAGUGGAACUCUCAACAUGUGUUUGAAUCUUGAGGAGAGUGGAUGUAAGCCAAAAUUUUGUCAAACCAUUAUACAAAUUGAGUUUGAAUCCUCAUUUCUUGAUUUCUUAUUUAUUUGCUUUUUCUUAUUAUUACUUGAAUUGUCAUUUGCAUUCAUUAAUGUUAAAAUUGGUUAUAAUUAACCAACACUAAUUCUCUUUCCCCUUCCCUUUCUUGGGUGUAAACCUAGGUUGGAUUAACUAGAUAAAUCUAUUAAGAUGGUAAAAGAAUAAUUAUUCUUAACAUACAUAAGAUCAUCUUCAAUCAAAUGACUCAUUGGCUAAUAUGUUGAAUUUGCUUAUUACUUGCAACUCAAAAUUGUGUUCUAGUUGUGUCAAGUCCCCAGUGUAUGGACAUUAAAUUUGUAGUACGUGAUGAGUAAUUAGAUGGUCCAACUCCAAGAAAGUGAUUGAAAAGUAGUUCAAGAAAGGUGCAAAAGGGAAUUGUUUUGGUAUUUUCGUUUUUAUUCUUGAAGGUGGCAGAGCUAAAAUUUGAGAAAUCAAGCAAAACAUACUGAAAUUACAUUGAAAGAAAGAAGAUGGGAGUUAAUGUCUUGCAGUACAUGAUAAGGACUUCAUGCAUGUAGUGUGACCCAUGUCUUGGACUGAUGCCAACUCACGGUUACACUUAUACCCUUGGUUCUCUCUUUACUACCUUGGCUAACCUAGAUCAGGCUAUGAGAUAGGCUCCUCACCACACCAUUACUUGCCCAUUAAUUAGAGACAUUUUCAAGCAAUGAGGUAACAUGGUGACACCAAGAGGGUCUAUUCCUCGCCCGGAACAAGUCUAGACUUGGUCUCAAAAAAAUGGAGAAAAAUGAGGUGUCGUUAUGUAGAAAUACAACAACCAUGCCUUCCUCAUUACUUAGAUUCAGAAUGUGAAGGUGAAAUUGAGAAACAGAAACUCUUGAAACCAAAAUGAAAAUUGAUACUUUUACGAAGAAUUACAACAACAUUAGAGGAAGACUACAUUCUUCCUCUUUAUUCCUACAUUUCUACACUACUUCUACUCCACUCCAUAUUUCUACAUACAUCUUUAAUCAGUCUUCCCUCCUUUAUAUAGAGCCAUCUUCACACAAAUUUCGCAAGGUAGAAAAGAGGAAUGAAACUUGGAGCAAGGUUCGACUACUGGUUGUAGCUUGUCAAGGCUGGAAGUGAACUUUUCUUGGCUUUCUGGGCAUGGGUAGUAACUUGUGGGUUCCUGUUUGGCAUAAAAAUGGCUAGAACAUGUGGCACUAUCUUGUUGGAUGAUGUGUCAAGCAUGUGGCAGCCAUCUAGUGGCGAUUAUGUCAAUUUUGGGAUGGAGAGUUGGCAUCCAAUUGCAAAGAAAUAUGACGUCUACCAACAUGCAAUGUAAACCUAUGUAGAUCAUAUGAAGAUAGAGAGGAAAAAUAUAGAAAUGGAUAUAUACCUAGAACUAGCUUUUUAUUAAAUGAAACGGAGAGACAACAAUGAAGGAAAAUAAAAUUUUUUGGCUUAUAUCAAAGAGUUCACAUUGUGUUACCCUAGGUUUUCUUAAAACUUACUUUUAUGAUAACAAAAAAGAAAAAACCAUUAUUGUUUAAUCCUUUGUUUUAAACGCAUGUAAGGUGUAAUUAAGUUAGUUCAAUGCAUUAAUUUAAGAAACUUGACCUAUCAAAAGUACAAAAUUAGAUGAAAUCCAUUUCAAUGGUUAAAAUGAUCAAAAUCAAACUUUUUCUAAGUAUUUUUUAAAAGCAUCAAUAGUGAAAGACAAUUUUAUAUUUAGUCGGAGUUUGGACAAAACUGAAAAACACACAAAAUCCAAGCGACCAUCUCUAGCUUGGAUGGUCGCUUGAUCCCACCUAGAGAUGUGCAUGAGUAAAAGGAUUUGAAAAUGGAAAUUGACUAUGUAGUCGAUCAAUUAACUUUGCAACAUCAUAUGCAAUCCUAAUUGCUAGUCAUCUAAUCAAUUAGGUAGUCAAUCAACAGGCCAAAAAUAUGUUUAUAAUGACUAUUUUGUACAAAAACCACCUGUAUAGUUAAAUAUAAUGCAUUUCAUUUAUAAAUCUUCUAAUUCUUGAAUAACGAUCCUAUCAUCCUUUGAAAGUUUUUAUUACACUUUUUUUACUUUUGUUCUAAAACUUACACAUCACCCUUAAUUGUACCAUGAGAACCUAGCUAUUUUUUAUUUUUUUUUUUGUAAUUCAUCAAAGUUAGCUUUUGUAUUCAUUGUUGUAUUAUUUUUAGUAUAACUUAGAAAGCUAGUGUUUUCAAGUGAGUAAAAUUAACUUGUAAAUAUUGUAAAGAUUCAUCGACAUGUAUCUUAAACUAAGUGUACAAGUUAAAACAUUUGCUAGUAGAUUUUCUCAAAAUUUAGAAUAGAGCUUGAGACUAUUGAAAUAGGUGGGGUUGCACCAAACCACAUCACAUCGUUGUUUGCACCUUUUUUCACUCUCUUUUACUUAGUUGCUCUAUAUUUGUUGUCUAGUAAUAUCCUAUAGGCUUGAUGGGUUAGGGAGCAUCCCUUUGUGAAAAAAUUUUAUUCAAUCCUUAGUUGUAUCACGCAUAUAUAAAAUGCCUCAUUGUUUUAAUGGUAUUCAGUCGUGGCAUCACAGAUAUGGGCAUCUAAAUUUUAAAAGUUUGAAACUUUUAUCUAAAGAAAAUAUGGUGCUUUGCCUUUUUGUAAAGCAUGUUGAUGAAAUCCAUGAGAAUUGUGUACUUGGGAAGCAACACCGAGAUGACUUUUUUUUUUUUUUUAUAAUAUUGUUUGUCCAAAUUCCCUACAAAUUAGGCCACCAGAUGUUCAUAAUUCUCCCUUCUUGAAUUUGAAAACUCGGACAAUUGGACAAUGCGACACCUAAGUCCGGUUUCUAAAUGCUAAAGUGAAAGGGUAGGUAUGGACCAUUGAAAUGUGAUCACAACUUUUCUCUGUAGCCAUGUUGUCUCUUUUUUCUUUUGCAUGAUUUUCUUACCUUAACAGAAUCAUAGACUUGUUUAGUCUCUAAAUGGGAUUAAUUUCAUCCAGCUUUAAGCUACUAUAUUAUAUCUAGGUGGAGGACUUUUAAGAGUGCAACCGACAUAGAGCACAUGGAAGUGGGUAUAUGGGACAUGAAAUUUCUUCUUAUAAAGAUUGCAUGAUUUUUAUAUUAGAGUUGUUGAGGCGCUAUGUAUUUAGCUUGUUUUGCAGUUAAAUUAAUUGGAUAAGUAGACAUUGGCGUUUCUAAAUCUACUGUGAAGUGCUUCAUGUACGUGUGAAGUAUUAGAAAUUUCUUUCUUGGCAACUUGUUUUUCUUUGCGGUCUACUGAUAGGUUUGACUAAAAUUAUAUUCCCUGUCAUGCUAAUUAAUUUUCACGUGCAUGCUCAAAAGAAAAGUAUGACCUUAGUGCACCAAAAUCACUUUGAUUAAUUUGUGAUAGGUUUUUGUGCAUCAUGACAUUAGCCUUAUUCAUUUAGAUAAUGUUUAGUUUUUAGAAAGUAUUAAGAAAAGGAAAAUAAAUAUUAAGAAAAAUAUUCUUAUAUUUGAUUGUAUUAUGAAAAAUAUCAUAAAAAAAUCAAAUAUAAUUUAAAUUAAUUAAUAAUUUAUACAUUUUCAAAUUAUUUAAUCUUUAUAUUGAAGAUAUAAUAUAAAUGAAAUGAGUUUUAAGUAUUAUAUAAAAGUGAUUUAUUGAUCUUACAUAUAUAUAUUUCUUUUUUUUUUCCUUCUAUUUUUUCUCUUUAUUUUAUUUUCCUUAUGUUUUCCUCAACAUUUUCCGGAACCAAACAUAGCCUUAGGAAAUCCACAAUUACCUUCAACUGAGUAGAUUCUGUUGUUUUAGCAAUGUUAGGCUGCUAACUUGUGUUGGUACGAACCUAUUAAGCCUAAAGAUGUAAUUAGUUAGGAUAUUCUUUUCCCUCUAGUCUUGUAGCUCCACGUGUACAGUUGGUUAGGACCUCAUUGUAUAUAAUGCUUGCCCUGUUAUUGUAGAAGACAACAAAGAUAAAUAAUAUUAACAUUUUUCCUCUCAUCUCUCUCUGUUUCCCUCUGUUUUCAUCUCCUCUCUCAUCUUGGUAUCAGAGCCUCCAUGGCUUCUUUCAAAGAAACCUCCGAAUCACCUUCUGCUAGCAUUGUUAAUGUGCAAAACCCAUUAUCUCAAUCAAACAACCUUCCUUCACCAGUAGCCACACCCUCUUUUUCUUUCUCGUCUAUGAAUCAACCUCUCACAGUGAAGCUGGAUAAUGGGAACUACCUCAUAUGGAAGAAUUAGCUUCUAAAUGUCAUCAUUGCUAACGGACUCGAUGAUUUCAUUGACGGAUCUCGACCCUGCCCUCCUCGAUUUCUCGAUCUGCAACAACAAACCCUCAAUCCAGAGUACUCAGCUUGGCAGAGAUACAAUCGACUUCUGAUGAGUUGGCUGUACGCAUCCUUGUCCAAAGAUAUAAUGGCUCAGAUUGUUGGGUAUUCAACAGCUAUGGAGAUUUGGAAUGCCCUUAAUCAGAUUUACUCUGCCUCUUCUAUGGCGCGGUUUACUGAGCUUCGCACCAAGCUUCAAACGCUCAAGAAAGAUGGACUCUCAGUUGGUGAAUAUAUUCAAAGGCUCAAAUCCAUUUGCAAUAGUCUUGCAGCAAUAGGAGAACCAGUUUCUGAGAAAGACCAUCUUAUCUAUUUGUUCAAUGGAUUAGAUUGUGAGUAUUAUUCUUUUGUUACCUCCAUUCAAAAUCGAUCUGACCAACCAACUAUUGACAAAAUCCAUAGCCUAUUGCUUAGCUAUGACUUCCGGCUUGAACAACAAAACUCUGUUUCUCUCCAUUCUGCCCAAGUCCAUAUGGCUCAUCUGAACAAGAAACCUUAUAAAUCAACUCCUCAACCUACAUUCAAUCAUAUUCACAUUCAACCUAGAUACUCUUCUCCACCUUUUAAGCCAACCACUAGUCAAUAUCAACCCAACAUUUUGGGCAAACCACAACCACAACCAUGACAGCCUCAACCUCAAUGGAAACCACAUUUUUCAAUCUAAAAUCAAAAGCCUCAGCGCCAAAUUUGUGGUAAAUUUGGACACACUGCUCUUAUUUGCUUCCAUCACACAAAUUUGAACUAUUCACCCCAACCUUCUCCUAAAUCUUUCAAUACUGUUCUCACCACAAAUUCCCAGCUCCCUAAUCCUCCAAAAUUUUCUUACCCUACAAUGGCUCAUCCUGCUGCUACGCAUAACACGGUUCCCGAUACAAAUUGGUACAUGGACUCAGGUGCUACACAUCACUUUACUCUGGACAUCAACGUGCUUGACACUGUGACACCAUUUAGUGGUUCAGAACAGGUGACAGUUGGGAAUGGUAAGCAACUCUGUAUCUCACAUCUUGGUACUGCAAAACUACCAUCUUCGUAUUCUCCUCCUGUUCUACAUCAGGUAUAUCACACUCCAAAAAUUUCAAAUAAUCUUAUUAGUGUUAAAAAAUUGUGUUCUGAUAAUAAAGUUUUUGUUGAAUUUUAUGCCACUCAUUUUCUUGUCAAGGAUCAGGUUUCGAAGAGAGUUCUCCUUUAGGGUCAACUUGAUAAUGGCUUAUACAAAGUUCAGUCGUCAUGCUCUCCUUCUGCUGUUUCCUUUCCUCCUCAAGUUUUCAUAGCCAACAUCAAGUAUCCAAAUCUGUGGCACAAGAGACUAGGCCACCCAGCUUUAUCUGUUGUUAAUCAAAUCUUGGAUUCUUGUAACAUUGCUCGAACACAGAAAAUUUGUUUUAAUUUUUUAAAUUCUUGUCAAUUAGCAAAGAGCCACAGGCUUCCUUUUUCUCUGUCUCCAUCCAUUGCAGAAAAACCUUUUGAGUUAAUUCAUACAGACCUAUGGGGUCUUUCGCUCGUUCGCUCUAUUUCUGGUGCUCUUUAUUUUUUACUUUUCAUUGAUGAUCAUACUCGUUUUACUUGGUUUUAUUUGCUCAAAACAAAAGAUGAAGCAUAUCCUACUUUUCUCAAGUUUCAAGCUCUCAUUGAAAAUCAAUUUAAUACCAAGAUUAAGGCUGUCCAAUCUGAUUGGGGAGGUGAGUUUCGAUCUCUCUCCAUACCGUUUUCAAAUAUGGGCAUUGUCUAUUGUUUAUCGUGUCCAUACACCUCACAACAGAAUGGGCGAGUUGAGCGAAAAAAUCGCCAUGCGAUUGUCCUUUCUUGCUUGCUCUAUGCCCUUAUCUUAUUGGCCUUAUGCCUUUCAAACUGCCACUUACCUUAUUAAUCGUCUCUCUACCCCUGUGCUGCAUCAUCAAUCCUCUUACUUCGCACUCUAUCACAAACUCCCAACUUAUACUCAUCUUAAGGUCUUUGGUUCCUCUUGUUUUCCGUAUUUGCACCCUUAUAAUACCCAUAAACUCCAAUACAGGUCACUAGAGUGUGCUUUUCUUGGUUACAGUUCACACCACAAAGGUUAUCUAUGUCUUGACAUUCAUUCUAGCAGGGUGUAUAUUUCUCGCCAUGUGAUUUUUAAUGAAGAUUCUUUUCCAUUCAAGAAUUUGAAAUCUUCUCUCUCUCAGUCUAUUUCUUCUUCCUCUUCUUUAUAAGUUCCUCUGUUCAUUCUCUUGCCUCCCCUUUCCCCAUCUCCUCUUAUUUCUUCAUCUAUACCUCAUUCUUUUCCCUCUUCUUCUUCUACCUCUAGUACUUGUUCCCCUCUCGUUGCUCCUACCUCUCUUCCUUCCUCUUCACACUCUGUGUCUCCAUCUAUUCCACCUCCUUCUCCACCUUCUCCGAGUGUGGACCUGCUUGCACCUUGUGUGAAUACAAAUUUACAUACUUCUUCUCGCACUCACAAUAUUCAUCCUAUGGUGACUAGAUCUAAGGUUUGUAUCUAUAAACCUAAGUUGUUGUUGAGUGUCUCCAUAGGUUCUCUCACUAAGCCUACUUCCUUUCUUCAAGCUAUUAAAGAUCCUUCAUGGAAGCAAUCCAUGGAAUUCGAGUUUGCUACCCUUCAACACAACAAGACCUGGCAUUUGGUUCCUUCACCUUCCUCAGGCGAAGUAAUCGGUUGUAAAUGGGUCUAUAAGCUAAAGCUUCAGCCUGAUGGCUAAAUUGAGAGAUACAGCCUGCUUAGUAGCUAAGGGUAUCAUCAAAUUGAAGUAUGGACUACUUCGAAACAUUCAGCCUGAUNNNNNNNNNNNNNNNNNNNNNNNNNNNNNNNNNNNNNNNNNNNNNNNNNNNNNNNNNNNNNNNNNNNNNNNNNNNNNNNNNNNNNNNNNNNNNNNNNNNNAGCUUCAGCCUGAUGGCUAAAUUGAGAGAUACAAGGCCUGCUUAGUAGCUAAGGGUUAUCAUCAAAUUGAAGGUAUUGACUACUUCGAAACAUUCAGCCUGAUUGUCAAGCUUUCUACUAUCUGUAUUGUGCUCAGUCUUACUUUUUCCCAGAAUUGGUGUAUUAGACAGCUGGAUGUUCAUAAUGCCUUCUUACAUGGUGACUUAGCUAAAGACGUUUUCAUGGAACAACUGCCUGGAUUUGUUGAUCCUCUCUAUCCUACUCAUGUCUGCAAGUUGGAUAAGUCUCUCUACUGUCUUAAAUAGUCACCUCGGGCUUGGUAUACUAAGCUGAGUACUUCUCGCUACACUUGGGAUUUGUUACUUCUAAGAAUGACUCUUCCUUAUUUAUUUGUCAUUCGUCUCAUGGGUUACUUCUUGUUCUUGUCUAUGUGGAUGAUAUAAUCGUCAUUGGGAGCCACUCUCCUCAGGUUACUCACCUUAUCCAACAGUUGCAUCAUUAGCUUUCUUUAAAGGAUCUUGGUCCUUUACAUUAUUUUCUGGGCUUGGAGGUUCAUCACACCCCUACUGGUAUUCACCUCAGCCAAGCAAAGUAUAUCACUGAUCUCCUUACCCGGGCGGCUAUGUUGGAUGCCAAGCCAUGUCCCACUCCUAUGUCCUCCAACACAUAUCUCUCUUUUCAUGAUGGAGUGGCUCUUGAAAAUGGUUCAGAUUAUCGAAGUUUUGUUGGUGCCCUUUAGUAUUGUACCAUGACACGCCCAGAUAUAGCUUUUGCAAUAAAUAAAGUGUGUCAAUUCAUGCACCAUCCCUCUAAUGUUCACUGGCAGGCUAUAAAACGUAUUCUCCGGUACUUAAAGGGCACAUCUCAUUUUGGUCUCUUCCUACAGCCUUCCUAUGACUUCAACAUCACUUGCUAUACAAAUGCCGACUGGGCUUCCUGUCCUGAUGACAAGUGUAGCACCAGUGGCUACUGCCUCUUUCUUGCCUCUAAUCUGGUUUCUUGGUCAUCUUCCAAACAAAAAGUGGUCUCCCGCUCCAGCGCCGAAUCAGAGUACCGAGGGGUAGCAAAUGGGGCUGCUGAAAUUGCUUGGACUGAAUCUCUUCUUUGUGAACUUUCCAUUACUCCCCCUCCCCUCAUUCUCUGUGACAAUAUCAGUGCCACGUACUUAGCUGCCAAUCCUAUUUUGCAUGCCCGCACCAAACAUGUGGAAAUCGACUAUCACUUUGUCACGGAACGUGUUCUUCAAUGCUCUCUUUUUGUCCAGUUUACACCUUCUGAUGAUCAACUUGCUGAUUGCAUGACCAAGCCUCUCUCCACCCAACGUUUCAUCACUCUACGCUCCAAGCUCACUGUUCUCACUAGACCAAUGAGCUUGAGGGGGGAUGUUAAGCCUAAAGAUGUAAUUAGUUAGGAUAUUCUUUUCCCUCUAGUCUUGUAGCUCCACGUGUACAGUUGGUUAGGACCUCAUUGUAUAUAAUGCCUGCCCUGUUAUUGUAGAAGACAACAGAGAUAAAUAAUAUUAACAUUUUUCCUCUCAUCUCUCUCUCUGUUUCCCUCUGUUUUCAUCUCCUCUCUCAUCUGAACCAAAUGAUCCAUGUUAACCUUGGCUUGGUUUGAUUUGGCUCUAUCUUAGAGAGCUCAAGGAUCACGUCAACUCUGGUUUCUACUAUUCAGGUCCAUUCCCAUAUGAACUGGUUCAAAUUUGAGAAAAUGGUAACAGACCUUUAGUGAUGUUGGUUUGGAGCCAGUUGCCAAACCCGCCCUGAGCUUUACCACUAAUGUCAAGGGAGAAAGCCAUUUGAACAAAAACAAUAGCUUCAAGGGACUGAAUCGUGGAUGAAAUCUGAUCCACAUUUCUUCUCAUUUUGGAAACAAAUGAGAACUUAACUAAGAAGAUUCUACGGCCUCAUAGUGCUUUUCCUGAUCUAAGGUUGGUUCGUUUCCCAAACUGUGAGAUGCACGUGCCAGACUUCAGAACUCUCACGCUCAGGAGUGUAUCCACGUGGUGGACAUAAGAUGGUGGCUUAAGAUCUGGUGUCGGUGGCUUUACUUUACUAGGAGAGUAGUGUGUCUUCAUCUCAUUCACUGCCGGAGGGUGGCGUAAGCAGUGACGCUAAGGUGGGGCACAGUCAAUAUCAUUUGCAUUUGACCAUUAUAGUUUUCUCCCGGCUUUAAAGUAACCUUAUCGUGAUAAAGGAUUACUAGCACUAGUUCAGAUGAUAGUCAUGUUAAAUUCGGACCAUGUUUGUGUCACAUUAUCAGCAACCAUGUGUUUAUGGUUCAUGCUUUCUGCAACUAAAAUUGAUAUAUAACCAGGUGAACUUCAAUCUAAAUUCUGAAAGUACUCAUGUGAUAGAUGGUGCCCGUCUGCAGAGUCCAUCAAUUGAAAAAUGGAGUGAGUGUAUCUAUAAGAGGGAAGGCUUGGAAAAUGUUCAGUUUUCUGGGAAUUCAACAAGGAUCUAAAAUAGAUUGUUUUCUUUGCUGAUUUCAAUGGUUGAAAUUUGAGAAGAUUGUGUCCACAUAACACAACUAUUACUGGUCCUUCUGUUGCAAUUUAUCCUCUAAAGCUCUAGCAUGUCUUCCAAUUCCCACUUCCCUGUUACUCCAGGAAAGCUAUUUCUGUCAUUGUGAAGAAGAAAAGAGAAUGUACAUAUCGAUGCUUUUAAGUGACUGGAGCAUUUAUAUCAGGUGGUCUGCAGCCAUAUAUGCCACUUUGUGAAGAUUGGAACAGUCAAUCACUAGGCUAUAUAUUAGUGUGGCCCAGCCACUUUAAUCAAGGACAAGUCUUCAUACUUAAAGUCAAAUUCUGCCUUUAGUCUCAUUAUAAAUUUCUGUUUAAAUAUUAAGCAAACAUUUGUUUAAUGCGAUUAAGACAGUACUAACUCAAUACCUGUUCUAUUUUUGGAUGCAAAUGCUUGAUGGUUUCAUCAUUGGAUGGGAUAAAGGUGCAUUCAUGAUUAGGAAUACUAGUAGUUAUAUUUUAAUUCUCUUUUUUCUCAAUGAGACUUGUUGGCACAAUUUUGCUGUUGAGAAACCUACCUCUCCAUGGAAAAUAAGUUGUGAUUGAUAGUACUGGAUAUAUUCAAGAAAUCUAAAUAUAGAUAGCACAAAAUAUUAUCGACAUAAAUAGCAUUAACAGCGUACGUAUGUCUCAGUGCUCAUCAGCUAUAAGCAUGGGGCAAACACUUACUAUGAGCAACUUACGUCAAAAUUCCAGAAUAGGACAUAGAAGUGACAGAUAUAGAACAUUGCAUAUGAGUCACAAGAAAGGAAAUUACGGGUGCAUAGCAGCUCUUAUUUUACAUACUACUACUCAUACUGAUCAAAGUCACUCAGUUGGGAUGGGUGGGAGUAGGAGGUUUGUGGGGUGGCUUGUGCGGAGGAGUUGGCAGCUUCUUUCCAGGACCUGGUUGCUUCUCUGCUGGAGUUGAAGGAGGCUUAAUCUUCCGAGGUGGCUUGUAUGAGUCUUCAGCAUUCUCAGCUGGAGGGUGACCAGGGUUGUGACCAUAAUGUGGUGGCUUCUCUCCCUUAGGUGGUUUGCCAACUGGGGUUGGUGGCUUGUAUGAGUCUUCAGCAUUCUCAGCAGGAGGGUGACCAGGGUUGUGACCAUAAUGUGGUGGCUUCUCUCCCUUAGGUGGUUUGCCAACUGGGGUUGGUGGCUUGUGUUCUGGGAGUGGCUUCUCCCCCUUGGGAGGUUUUUCCAAUGGGGUUGGUUUGUGUUCAGGAGGUGGCUUCUCCACUGGAGGCUUGUGUUCAGGAGGUGGCUUCUCCACCGGAGGCUUGUGUUCAGGUGGUGGCUUCUCCACCGGAGGCUUAUGCUCUGGUGGUGGCUUCUCGAAUGGGGGAUGCUUAGGAUAAUCAGCAAGUGAGGGGGCGGUGAGAACCACCAGGCCAAGCAACACCACUAGCAAAUAUGUAGGAGACAUCUUUGGGUUUGGGCUCAGAUGGUGCAAAACUAGGAGAAUUGGCUAGCCUUUUAUAGCGGAUCGUACCCAAUAAUGAAAUGACACGUGUCAUUAUGACCCAUGUGUAAUGGGGUCGAUUUGGGUCCUACAGUGUUGAAAACUUCGACAUCCACUUUUGGCCUUUUGCUUUCUCUACAGCCGCCUUGCUUUUUCCCUCUUUCCUUUUGUUUUCCUCCUGCCCCAUUCUAUCAACUAAACACAAUUAUGUAGUUGUUUAAUUCUUAAAUGAGAUAUUAUCCGUCAAUCGUAUUAUAUUUUAUCAAGAGAGAACGGAGUGCAAUGUGGCUGUAAUUUUAUCGUUUAGUUUUAUCUCUUGGACCACUGCAUUUUUGUUAAGAGGUGCAAUAAUACACGUCUUUAUCUGCCAUUCAAUAUUUACAGUAAAGAGAGGGCACAAAACUCUUCACUUCGCACCAUAAUUAUUUUGUUUUCUGGACACCCCGGGGCCCUUUGGUUGGUUUGGGGGUCAGAAAGUGAACAUCAUAGGGGGUUUUUCCCUUAUGUGCAUUUGUAUCUGAUGGCUUUAACUCGCCUUGUUACUACAAAGAAACUGUCACAGAUAGGAACUUAUUCCAGGCUGAGUAUCUCCUCAUAGACCCUAUAAAAGAAGACAAGUCAUAAUGAACAUCUAACCUUUGUUCAAUUUGAUUCAAUGCCCCCAUUGUGUCCAUCUCACAAAUCUGAAUUAUUAUAUCCAUUGAAUACAUAAAUUAAUGAAGAAAAUAUGAAACCCAAGAUACAUCUCUGCACAACCUCAACCCUGGUUGCUAUGUUUCCCUUCUAUUCACAUGAUUUGAUGCUAAUUGCCAAACUUGCAACAAGCCCUGAGUUUGACACCUAGUAUCGAUGGGCGAAUUUAAAGUCUCCUCCAAACAUAUAUUCCACAGCUUGAAGCUCACAGAAGAUGUUACAGGCAGGGAAAAACCUUCAGAGUUCGCUACCAAAGAUAAUUAUUAAGGAGAUAUCACAAAGAGAAUUCCAAGGGGUCUGAAUCAAAGACAAAUUGGUCGUUCGUGGGGGUUCUUACUUUCUUUUGGGUAUAACUCACUGAGGGCACUGUCUUUGUUAUUUGCAUUUCACAUUUAGAGUUCUGUUCUGGAAACAUAUAAAAGGAGCAUCAUUUUGUUCUUGGGUAACCCAUAGUCGUGAGUGGGUCCAUUUGCAUGCUACUUAGUUGAAAAGUUGGACCAUUUGCUCCGACGCCUACCUCCCGGAUUCCAUGCUCGGAUAAAACAAGAAUAAAAAAAAUAUUUAUAAUUUACAAAUGGGGGAAAGAAAAAAAUGUCAACAACAAACCAGGAAAAAAGAGUAGUAAAAUUCAUGUCACAUGCUAGUGAGAGAAGGGGUUGUUACACUCACUCGAAGUUCUUUCCAAAAUAUCGCAUGGUAUUUUAUUUUAUGUGUCAGCGCAGUUGUGAAUGGAACGUGCAAAAGUCCAAAUUGGCGUUUUUCCUUUUCCCGUGUAGGAUGGCGACCUUUAAUAAAUAUUUAAAACAAAAAACGAAAAAAAGGAGGGAAAAGGGAUCAGAAAAGAUAAAACAAUGUGUACAAGAGCUCAAUUAGUUUGCAAAUUACUGUUUGGAUUUUGAUAGUAUUUUAUUUGUCCAUCUAUAUUUGAUGGAAAAGAGAAUUUAAGAUAUUUCUGAAACAAAAGCAUUAGUGUAAAACUAAAUUAAGGUAUAAUUAAGUUAGUUCAAUGCAUUAAUUUAAGAAACUUGAUCUAUCCAAAGUACAAAAUUAGAUGAAAUCCAUUUCAAUGGUUAAAAUGAUCAAAAUCAAACUUUUUCUAAGUAUUUUUUAAAAGCAUCAAUAUUAAAAGACAAUUUUAUAUUUAGUCGGAGUUUGGACAAAACCAAAAAGCACACAAAAUCCAAGCGACCAUCUCUAGCUUGGAUAGUCACUUGAUCCCACCUAGAGAUGUGCAUGAGUAAAAGGAUUUGAAAAUGGAAAUUGACUAAAUAUUUAGUUGAUCAAUUAAAUUUGCAAUGUCAUAUGCAAUCCUAAUAGCUAGUCAUCUAAUCAAUUAGGUAGUCAAUCAAGUGUUUGUAAUGACUAUUUUGUACAAAAAACCACAUGUAUAGUUAAAUAUAAUGCAUUUCAUUUAUAAAUCUUCUAAUUCUUGAAUAACGAUCCUAUCAUCCUUUGAAAAUUUUUAUUACACCUUUUUUACUUUUGUUCUAAAACUUACAUAUCACCCUUAAUUGUACCAUGAGAACCUAGCUAUUUUUUUUUUUUUUGUAAUUCAUCAAAGUUAGCUUUUGUAUUCAUUGUUGUAUUAUUUUUAGUAUAACUUAGAAAGCUAGUGUUUUCAAGUGAGUAAAAUUAACUUGUAAAUAUUGUAAAGAUUCAUUGAUAUGUAUCUUAAACUAAGUGUACAAAUUAAAACAUUUGCUAGUAGAUUUUCUCAAAAUUUAGAAUAGAGCUUGAGGCUAUUGAAAUAGGUGGGGUUACACCAAACCACAUCACAUCGUUGUUUGCACCUUUUUUCACUCUCUUUUACUUAGUUUCUCUAUAUUUGUUGUCUAGUAAUAUCCUAUAGGCUUGAUGGGUUAGGGAGCAUCCCUUUGUGAAAAAAUUUCAUUCAAUUCUUAGUUGUAUUACGCAUAUAUAAAAUGCCUCAUUGUUUUAAUGGUAUUCAGUCGUGGCAUCACAGAUAUGGGCAUCUAAAUUUUAAAAGUUUGAAACUUUUGUAAAGCAUGUUGAUAAAAUCCAUGAGAGUUGUGUACUUGGGAAGCAACAUCGAGGUGACUUUAUUUUUUUUUCCUUUUAUAAUGCCACACCUAAGUCCGGUUUCUAAAUGCUAAAGUGAAAGGGUAGGUAUGGACCAUUGAAAUGUGAUCACAACUUUUGGCCUUUUCCUUUCUCUGCAGCCAUGUUGUCUCUUUUUUCUUUUGCAUGAUUUUCUUACCAAAACAGAAUCAUAGACUUGUUUAGUCUCUAAGCUACUAUAUUAUAUCUCGGUGGACUUUUAAGAGUGCAACCGACAUAGAGCACAUGCAAGUGGGCAUAUGGGACAUGAAAUUUCUUCUUACAAAGAUUGCAUGAUUUUUAUAUUAGAGUUGUUCACGUGCAAUGUAUUUAGCUUGUUUUGCAGUUAAAUUAAUUGGAUAAGUAAACAUUGGCAUUUCUAAAUCGACUGUGAAGUGCUUCAUGUACGUGUAAAGUAUUAGAAAUUUCUUUCUUGGCAACUUGUUUUUUCCUUGCCAUCUACUGGUAGGUUUGACUAAAAUUAUAUUCCCUGUCAUGCUAAUUAAUUUUCAUGUGCAUGCUCAAAAGAAGAGUAUGACCUUAGUGCACCAAAAUCACUUUGAUUAAUUUGUGAUAGGUUUUUUUGCAUCAUUUAGAUAAUGUUUAGUUCUAAGAAAAAUUUAUAUAAAAAUGGUUUAUUUAUCUUACAUAUAUAUAUAUAUAUAUAUAUUUUUUUUUUUUUCAUUUUUUUUUCUUCUAUUUUAUUUAUUUAUUUUAUUUUCCUUAUGUUUUCCUCACAUUUUCCGGAACUAAACAUAGUCUUACGAAAUCAACAAUUGCCUUCAACUGAGUAGAUUCUGUUGUUUUAGCAAUGUUAGGCUGCUAACUUGUGGUGGUACGAACCAAAUGACCCAUGUUAAUCUUGGCUUGGUUUGAUUUGGCUCUAUCUCAGAGAGCUAAAGGAUCACGUCAACUCUGGUUUCUACUAUUCAGGUCCAUUCCCAGAUGAACUGGUUCAAAUUUGAGAAAAUGGUAACAGACCUUUAGUGAUGUUGGUUUGGAGCCAGUUGCCAAACCCGCCCUGAGCUUUACCACUAAUGUCAAGGGAGAAAGCCAUUUGAACAAAAACAAUAGCUUCAAGAGACUGAAUCGUGGAUGAAAUCUGAUCCACAUUUCUUCUCAUUUUGGGAAAAAAUGAGAACUUAACUACAAAGAUUCUACUGCCUCAUUCAUAGUGCUUUUCCUGAUCCAAGGUUGGUUCGUUUCCCAAAUUGUGAGGUGCACGUGCCACUCUCACGCUCAGGAGUGUAUCCACGUGGUGGACAUCAGAUGGUGGCUUAAUAUCUGGUGUCGGUGGCUUUACUUUACUAGGAGAGUAGUGUGUCUUCAUCUCAUUCACUGCCGGAGGGUGGCGUAAGCAGUGACGCUAAGGUGGGGCACAGUCAAUAUCAUUUGCAUUUGACCAUUAUAGUUUUCUCCCGGCUUGAAAGUAACCUUAUCGUGAUAAAGGAUUACUAGCACUAGUUCAGAUGACCGUCAUGUUAAUUCGGACCAUGUUUGUGUCACAUUAUCAGCAACCAUGUGUUUAUGGUUCAUGCUAUCUGCAACUAAACUUGAUAUAUAACCAGGUGAACUUCAAUCAAAAUUCUGGAAGUACUCUUGUGAUAGAUGGUGCCUGUCUGCAGAGUCCAUCAAUUGAAAAAUGGAGUGAGUGUAUCUAUAAGAGGGAAGGCUUGGCAAAUGUUCAGUUUUCUGGGAAUUCAACAAGGAUCUAAAAUAGAUUGUUUUCUUUGCCGACUUCAAUGGUUGAAAUUUGAGAAGAUUGUGUCCACAUAUCACAACUAUUACUGGUCCUUCUGUUGCAAUUUAUCCUGUAAGGCUCUAACAUGUCUUCCAAUUCCCACUUCCCUGUUACUCCAGGAAAGCUAUUUCUGUCAUUGUGAAGAAGAAAAGAGAAUGUACAUAUCGAUGCUUUUAAGUGACUGGAGCAUUCAUAUCAGGUGGUCUGCAGCCAUAUAUGCCACUUUGUGAAGGUUGGAACAGUCAAUCACUAGGCUAUAUAUUGGUGUGGCCCAGCCACUUCAAUCAAGGACAAGUCUUCAUACUUAAAGUCAAAUUCUGCCUUUAGUCUCAUUAUAAAUUGCUGUUUAAAUAUUAAGCAAACUUUUGUUUAAUGCGAUUAAGACAGUACUAACUCAAUACUUGUUCUAUUUUUGGAUGCAAAUGCUUGAUGGUUUCAUCAUUGGAUGGGAUAAAGGUGCAUUCAUGAUUAUGAAUACUUGUAGUUAUAUUUUCAUUCUCUUUUUUCUCAAUGAGACUUGUUGGCACAAUGUUGCUGUUCAGAAACCUACCUCUCCAUGGAAAAUAAGUUGCGAUUGAUAGUACUGGAUAUGUUCAAGAAAGCUAAAUAUAGAUAGCACAAAAUAUUAUCGAUAUAAAUAGCAUUAACAGCGUACGUAUGUCUCAAUGCUCAUCAGCUAUAAGCAUGGGACAAACACUUACUAUGAGCAACUUACGUCAAAAUUCCAGAAUAGGACAUAGAAGUGACAGAUCUAUAUAUAUAGAACACUGCAUAUGAGUCACAAGAAAGGAAAUUACGGGUGCAUAGCAGCUCUUAUUUUACAUACUACUACUCAUACUGAUCAAAGUCACUCAGUUGGGAUGGGUGGGAGUAGGAGGUUUGUGGGGUGGCUUGUGCGGAGGAGUUGGCAGCUUCUUUCCAGGACCUGGUUGCUUCUCUGCUGGAGUUGAAGGAGGCUUAAUCUUCCGAGGUGGCUUGUAUGAGUCUUCAGCAUUCUCAGCUGGAGGGUGACCAGGGUUGUGACCAUAAUGUGGUGGCUUCUCUCCCUUAGGUGGUUUGCCAACUGGGGUUGGUGGCUUGUAUGAGUCUUCAGCAUUCUCAGCAGGAGGGUGACCAGGGUUGUGACCAUAAUGUGGUGGCUUCUCUCCCUUAGGUGGUUUGCCAACUGGGGUUGGUGGCUUGUGUUCUGGGAGUGGCUUCUCCCCCUUGGGAGGUUUUUCCAAUGGGGUUGGUUUGUGUUCAGGAGGUGGCUUCUCCACUGGAGGCUUGUGUUCAGGAGGUGGCUUCUCCACCGGUGGCUUGUGUUCAGGAGGUGGCUUCUCCACCGGAGGCUUAUGCUCUGGUGGUGGCUUCUCCACCGGAGGCUUAUGCUCUGGUGGUGGCUUCUUGAAUGGGGGAUGCUGAGGGUAAUCAGCAAGUGAGGGGGCGGUGAGAACCACCAGGCCAAGCAACACCACUAGCAAAUAUGUAGGAGACAUCUUUGGGUUUGGGCUCAGAUGGUGCAAAACUAGGAGAAUUGGCUAGCCUUUUAUAGCGGAUCGUACUCAAUAAUGAAAUGACACGUGUCAUUAUGACCCAUGUGUAAUGGGGUCGAUUUGGGUCCUACAGUGUUGAAAACUUCGACAUCCAGUUUUGGCCUUUUGCUUUCUCUACAGCCGCCUUGCUUUUUCCCUCUUUCCUUUUGUUUUCCUCCUGCCCCAUUCUAUCAACUAAACACAAUUAUGUAGUUGUUUAAUUCUUAAAUGAGAUAUUAUCGGUCAAUCGUAUUAUAUUUUAUCAAGAGAGAACGGAGUGCAAUGCAGCUGUAAUUUUAUCGUUUACUUUUAUCUCUUGGACCACUGCAUUUUUGUUAAGAGGUGCAAUAAUACACGUCUUUAUCUGCCAUUCAAUGUUUACAGUAAAGAGAGGGCACAAAACUCUUCACUGCUCUGCAUGUGUCCCAAAAAUGCGAUUGGACAAAUUAUGAUUUGCAUGCUAAAAAGAGGCAAAUGAGGUUAAUUCGCACCAUAAUUAUUUGGUUUUCUGGACACCAUAAAAAGAUGUUAUACAGGCAGGGAAAAACCUUCAGAGUUAGCUACCAAAGAUAAUUAUCAAGCAGAUAUCACCAAGAGAAUUCCAUAGAGUCUGAAUCAAAGACAGAUUGCUCGCUCGUGGGGGUUCUUACUUUCUUUUGGGUAUAACUCACUGAGGUCACUGUCUUUUUUAUUUGCAUUUCACAGUUAGAGUUCUGCUCUGGAAGGUUUGUUCUGGAAACAUAUAAAAGGAGCAUCAUUUUGUUCUUGGGUAACCCAUAGUCGUGAGUGGGUCCAUUUGCAUGCUACUUAGUUGAAAAGUUGGACAAUUUGCUCCGACGCCUACCUCCUGGAUUCCAUGCUCGGUAAAACAAGAAUAAAAAAAAAUAUAUAAUUUACAAAUGGGGGAAAGAAAAAAUGUCGGAAAAAAUAGUAAAAUUCAUGUCACAUGCUAGUGAGAGAAGGGGUUGUUACACUCACUCGAAGUUCUUUUCAAAAUAUCGAAUGGUAUUUUACUUUAUGUGUCAGCGCAGUUGUGAAUGGAACGUGCAAAAGUCCAAAUUGGCGUUUUUAUUUUUCCCAUGUAGGAUGGUGACCUUUAAUAAAUAUUUAAAACAAAAGACGAAAAAAAAAAGGAGGGAAAAGGGAUCACAAAAGAUAAAAUAAUGUUUACAAAAGCUCAAUUAGUUUGCAAAUUACUGUUUGGAUUUUGAUAGUAUUUUAUUUGUCGUUCUAUAUUUGAUGUAAAAGAGAAUUUAAGAUAUUUCCGAAGCAAAAGCAUUAGUUUGCUCUGUGAUGUCCCACAUCGAAUAGGGGAGAAAGUUUCUGGCGCUAUAUAUGUAGAGGCUCCUCUUAACCAAGUAGAUGCGUUUUAAAACCAUGAGGGCCCCCUUAGGUCCAAAGCGGACAAUAUCUACAUGAUUGGGUGUAAGUCAUUACAAAUGGUAUCAGAGCCGAUCCCCGACCCCGGUGUGGGGGUUUGUUUGGCCCUGUAAGGGGUGUUUGUCUGUUUGACCCCACAAUCCCAUGGGACACAACGAGGACGUUGUGUCUGCAUGGGGGGGCGUUUGUGAUGUCCCACAUCGGAUAGGGGAGAAAGUUCCUAGUGCUAUAUAUGUAGAUGUUUCUCUUAACCAAGUAGAUGCAUUUUAAAAUUGUGAGGGCCUCUUUGGGCCCAAAGCGGACAAUAUCUACAUGGUUGAGUGUAAGUCAUUACAUGCUCCAUGUCAAUUUCAGCAUUUCUCAUAUGUUUCACACAUACACAGAAGAGCAUCGUUUUUUAAAGCAUGCAUUUAUGUUGGAUUAAUUUGGAUUUUGUGGGAACUGGGGCAAGGAUCACAUGGAAGAGAGGUUGACUUUUUUCAGUACUUCAAUGGUUGAAAUAUGUGAAGGCUUGAUUGAUACUAAAGCUUGAAAUUGCGACUCUGUCAUUUGUAAAAAAAUAUGACAGCUUCCAUGCUCUCGUUUGGUUGCAUUGUCCGGUCGAGAGGUGCAAAAAGCAUUCUCUCUCUUCUAAUAGUCUUUUCGUUUAAAUCAAGGGAUUUGCCUUCCCGGUCGAGGUCCAAUAGAGGGUAACGGUCACCUACUAAACAUUAAAUGCUCCAACAACUAGUGAACUGAUCGACCCCAGCUCGACUAGUUGAGGUUACUUUUUGGUUUUCUUGUCUCCCGAGGUUAGAAACCUAUAAAUAGAGAGCUUCACUUCAUUUAUGAGUAAGAGAACACCUAAAUUUAUUUGUUUACCUACUUGUUUUUGCCAUAAAAGCUCUCAUUUCUUUUCUUGGUGUAUUAAAUCUCCAUUUGCAUAUCCUUUAGUGCACCUUUGUGAUUCAUUCUAGCCUUGAGUUGUAUUUAAGCCUUUGUUGAGCUAGGUUGAGAGUUUCAUACUUGUUUAUUGAGUGUUAAAGCCUUCAAGUGAGUUAAAACUUGAAGAGAUUGUGUAAGAGCCCAUUGGAGUCGGAAUCCAAGUGUAAAGGUGAUUAAAAGCUUGGUUGAAGCUUCAAGUUAGUGGAACUCUCACUCGGUUAUGAGCUUGAGAAGAGUGGACAUAGACAAGGCAGUGUCGAACCACUAUAAAAUCUGAGUUUGAUUUCUCUAACCUUAUCUCUUUAUAUUUGCUUCUCUUGUGCUUAAAUUUUUUGUGUUUAAAAAGAAUUUUUAAAAACUCAAUUCACCCCCUUCUUGGGAGUUUUUCUCUUUUAAGAUCAGCUUUUAUUUUCUCAAUUGGUAUCAGAACUAUGCCUCUUGUUUAAGACUUAAUCGUCUAAGAGGAAAUGGCUAAUCCAUCAAGUUCAUCUCACAUUGAAAGUUUUGCAACCAAUAGACUUCUUUUUUUUUUUUUGCGGGAACUGAUUAUCCCUAUUGGAAAACUAAAAUGACUUGGUUUUUACAAUCAAUUGAUUUAGAUGUAUGAGAUGCCAUUGAAGAUGACCUAACUUUUCCUUCAAAACUAGUUGAUGGAGUCAUGGUUCCAAAACCUAAGCAAGAAUGGGAUGAGCGUGAUUGAAGAAAUUUUCAAUUAAAUGCUAAAGUCGUUUAUACUUUGCAAUGCUCUAUGGACAGAAAUGAAUAUAAUAGAAUAUGUCAAUGCAAAUCGGUUAAAGAAAUUUGGAGAUUGCUUGAAAUAACUCAUAAAGGAACAAAUCAAGUUAAAGAGUCAAAAAUCAAUUUACUUGUUCAUAGAUAUGAAUUGUUUUUUAUGAAAGAUAAUGAAACUAUUGUUAAGAUGAUCACUAGGUUCACCAACAUUGUUAAUGGUCUUAAAGCCUUGGGAAAGACCUACAAGGAAUCCGAAAACGUGAUGAAGAUCUUGAGGUCACUUCCAUCAAAGUGGCAUACCAAGGUCACCGCAAUUUAAGAAGCAAAAGACUUGAUCAAGCUACCUUUGGAGGAGUUCAUAGGGUCAUUGAUGACAUAUGAAAUCAAUUUGGCAAAGAAGUAACAAAAAGGUGAAGACAAAAAGAAGAAGAACAUAACUCUCAAAGCUACAACUAAGGAAGAAGAAGUUGAAGAAGAAAAACAAAUUGAAGAAGAUGAAGAUUUAGCCCUCAUCACAAGAAAGUUCAACAAAUUCAUGAGGGGUGAAAGGUUUAGAAGAAGAAGGUUCACUUCUAGAAGAGACUUUUCUAAAAAGGAAUCUUCAUCUAAUGGUGACAAAAAGAGAUGGGAAGAGAAAAGAGACUUGGUGUGUUUCAAGUGCAAGAAACCGGGACACAUUAAAUAUGAUUGUCCUCUCUACAAAAGUGAAGUCAAGAGGAAAAAGAAUAAGGCAAUGAUGGCCACUUAGAGUGAAAGUGAAGAUGAAUCAUCCGAAGAAGAAAAUGAGAAAGAAGUGGCAAACAUGUGUUUCAUGGCAAUAGAUGAACUUGAUGAGGUAAAAUCUAACCUUAGUGAUUAAGAUAUACAUGAUGCAUUUGAAGAAUUGUAUGAGGAUUUUUAAAAACUUAGUUUGAAAAAUAUUUCUCUUAAAAAGAAAGUUCAACAACUUGACAAAGAACUUAGAGAAGUAAAAGAAAAAUUUUCAAAUGUUAAAGUUUCUAAAACUCAUCUUGAAAAAGAAAAUGAGAUUCUAAGAAAGAAAAAUGAAUAGUUGAACUCCUCUCUUUCAAUCUUUUCUUCUAGACAAAAAUCUUUUGAAAUGAUUCUAACUAGCUAAAAAUGUGUUUUUGACAAACAAGGGUUAAGAUUUAAAUCUUCAAAAAAUCAAAAGUAUUUUAAAAACUAUUUUGUAAAGGAAUCCACAAGUGCAAGUCCUUCCACUACUUGCAACUUUUGUGGAAGAGAAUGGCACAUUAGUAGUACGCCCUUUAAGAAAUGGUUCUCAAAAGAAUUUAAAUGCAAAAACUAAAAAAGAUUUGGAUUGAGAAAUCCAAGGUCACUAACCCUCAAGGACCCAAAAAGAUAUAGGUACCUAAAUCAACUUGAGUUUUAUGUUGUAAGGUUCAAAGAAUGAUAAGUGGUUCUUAGAUAAUGGUUGCUCAAGACACAUGACCGGAGAUGAAUCCAAGUUUGCUUUUCUUAAAAAGAAAAAUGGAGGAUAUGUUACCUUUGGAGACAAUGCAAAAGAAAGGAUGAUUGGUCAAGGCAACAUUGGUAAUGGCACAUCCUCUCUCAUUGAAAGUGUUUUAUUAGUAGAUGGUUUCAAACAUAACCUUUUAAGCAUUAGUCAAUUUUGCGACAAAGGUUUUUAAGUGAUUUUUUAAGCAUCUCAUUGCAUCAUCAAGGAUAUUCAAAAUGAUAAAACCAUUUUCAUGGGCCAUAGAUGUGAUAAUGUUUAUGCUAUAAAUAUUUCAAAAUAUGAUGGCCAUGAUAGAUGUUUUUCAAGCAUGCAUGAUCAAAGUUGGUUGUGCCAUAGGAGAUUGAGACAUGCUAACAUAGACCUCAUUUCCCAACUCAACAAAGAUGAACUUGUUAGAGGCCUUCCCAAAAUAAUUUUUUAAAAAGAUAAAGUUUGUGAAGCUUGUCAAGUGGGAAAGUAAAUCAAAAACUCUUUUAAAAACAAAAACUUCAUUUCCACAUCUAGGCCACUUGAGUUGUUGCAUAUGGAUUUAUUUGGUCCCUCUAGGACACCAAGUCUUAGAGGAAAUUCUUAUGCAUAUGCUAUUGUGGACGACUUCUCUAGAUACACAUGAGUCUUGUUUUUUAGUCAAAAGAAUAAAGUUUUUUAUGAGUUUUCAAAGUUUUGCAAUAAGAUUCAAAAUGAAAAAGGUUUUUCAAUUACUUAUAUAAGAAGUGAUCAUGGGAGAGAAUUCGAAAAUAUUGAUUUUGAAGAGUAUUGCAAUGAGCAUGGAAUUGACCACAAUUUUUUGGCUCUUAGAACUCCUCAACAAAAUGGGGUAGUUGAAAGGAAAAAUAGAACUCUUCAAAAAAUGACAAGAACCAUACUAAAUGAAAACAACUUACCAAAAUAUUUUUAGGCCAAAACGGUUAACACUUCUUGUUAUGUUUUAAAUAGAGUAUUAUUGAGGCUCAUACUUAAGAAAACUCCCUAUGAGCUUUGGAAAAACAAAAAACCCAACAUUAGUUAUUCCAAAGUCUUUGGAUGCAAUAUUUUAUAAUAAACACCAAAGACAAUCUUGGAAAAUUUGAUGCAAAAUUGGAUGUUGGAAUUUUCCUUGGUUACUCAACUUCAAGUAAAGCUUUUCGAGUUUUAACAAAAGAACCAUGGUUGUAGAGGAGUCCAUCCAUGUUAUUUUUUAUGAAUCUCCAAGAAAGAGAGAGGAUUGAUGAUGAUUUAGGUUUGAAGACCUCUAUAGGAAGAUUGCAAAUCGAAGAUAGAAGACAACAAGAAGAAAAUGGAGAGAAUCCAAAGAAAGAAGGAUCACCAUUGGCACUACCCCCUCAUCAACAAGCGCAAGGUGAAUCAAGUCAAGAGCUUCCUAAAGAAUGGAAGUUUGUCAUCAAUCACCCACAAGAUCAAAUUAUAGGCAAUCCAUCUAGUGGGGUAAGAACUAGAUCCUCUCUUAGAAAUAUUUGCAAUAAUCUAGCUUUUAUCUCUCAAAUUGAGCCUAAAAAUAUAAAUGAUGUUUUAGAUGAUGAAAAUUGGAUAAUUGCAAUGCAAGAAGAGUUAAAUCCAUUUGAAAGAAGUGGAGUAUGGGAAUUAGUACCAAGACCUUCAAAUCAAAGUGUUAUUGGAACUAGAUGGAUCUUUAGAAAUAAAAUGGAUGAAAAUAGCAUAAUUGUUAGAAAUAAAGCAAGAUUGGUAGCCCAAGGUUUUAAUCAAGAAGAAAUGAUAGAUUAUGAAGAAACCUUUGCCCCCGUAGCUAGGUUGGAAGCCAUUAGGAUGCUACUUGCCUUUGCAUGUUUUAAAGACUUUGUUUUAUAUCAAAUGGAUGUGAAAAGUGCUUUUUUAAAUGGUUUUAUAAAUGAAGAAGUAUAUGUUGAACAACCACCCGGUUUUCAAAGUUUCAACUUUCCUAACCAUGUUUUUAAACUUAAAAAGACACUUUAUGGUUUGAAACAAGCACCUAGAUCAUGGUAUGAAAAAUUGAGUAAAUUUCUUUUGAAAAAAAUGUUUUAAAAUGGGAAAAAUUGACACAACUCUUUUUAUAAAAACCAAAGAAAAUGAUAUGCUCUUAGUUCAAAUAUAUAUUGAUGAUAUCAUUUUUGGUGCUACUAAUGUCUCUCUUUAUGAAGAAUUUUCUAAGUGCAUGCAUAGUGAGUUUGAAAUGAGCAUGAUAGGAGAACUCAACUUCUUCCUUGGACUUCAAAUCAAGCAACUAAAGGAAUGAACCUUCAUCAAUCAAGCAAAGUAUAUAAGAGAUCUUCUCAAAAGGUUCAACAUGGAAGAAGCCAAAACAAUGAAGACUCUAAUGAGCUCAUCCAUUAAGCUUGAUAAGGAUGAGAAAGGUAAAUCCAUUGACUCUAUUAUGUAUAGAGGCAUGAUAGGUUCUUUGCUCUAUUUGACCACUAGUAGACCUUACAUUAUGUAUAGUGUGUGUUUGUGUACUAGAUUUCAAUCUUGUCUUAAAAAAUCUCACUUAAGUGUCGUGAAAAGAAUCCUCAAAUAUUUGAAAGGGACAAUGGACAUAGGCUUAUGGUAUCCUAAGAGUGAUAACUUUGAAUUAAUUGGUUUUUUGGAUGCUGAUUUUGUCAGUUGUAGGGUUGAAAAAUAAAACACUAGUGGCACUUUUCAUUUCUUAAGACACUUACUUGUCUCAUGGCAUAAUAAGAAGCAAAAUUUGGUAGCUUUGUCAACAGCAGAAGCUAAAUACAUAGCAACUGGUUUAUGUUGUGCACAAAUCCUUUGGAUGAAAUAAACACUUAGUGAUUUUGAUUUAUCUUUUGAGCAUAUUCCUAUUAAAUGUGAUAAUAGUAGUGCCAUAAGUAUAUCAAAAAAUCUCGUGCAACACUCUAGGACUAAGCAUAUAGAGAUUAGACAUAAUUUUCUUAGAUAUCAUACACAAAAGGAUGAUAUAACACUUGAAUUUGUAAGCAUAAAAGACCAACUUGCCGAUAUCUUUACAAAACCUCUAAGAACAUUUUGUUGAUAUUAGAGGACAAUUAGGAGUGAUUUCUUUAUGAUCUAAUGUGAUGAAUUCUUGAUGAAUAUACUUUUUGAUUGCAUGAAUUUCAUGUCAUAUAUGCAUCAUAUAGAAAUAUACUUAGAUAAUGGUCAAAUUUCGACCAAAAAUCAAAAUUCCCAUGGCAUUAGGCAUAAAAAUUUUGGAAUUUCAACUGAAAAUGGUAGGAGGAGGAUCACAAAAUGAGAAAGUAUGCAAAAAUUGAAAAAUCAAAACGUUGACCAAGCGGUCAAUCGGACUAGACCGAUCGACUAGUUUGUCGAGAUUUAGGAUUUUUAAGAGACUCCAACGCUUCAAUUUUUGCACCGUUCUCCUCUAUUUCUUCACGGUUUCUCUGAUUUUGUCUUUUAGAGACUAAUUUGAGUGCGUUUUGGAUCAAUUGAAGCAUUUUGGAUUGGAUUUUAGGAAGAUUGAAAGUUAAGGUUUCGGAUUUGGGUCGCCUUCUCUUCCUCUCGCGUGUCACAAUCAGCUUUAGCAUUGUUCUCUUUCCAUUUUCACACACCUAGGGUUUCAGUUGUGAGCAUCUCUCUCUCUUUACCAACCACUACUCCCUUGCUUCUUCCAUAUGGCUCCUAGGCGAGAGUCCGCUACUUCUAGGGCACAAGGCAAGCACCCAACUGAGUCGUCUCAGUCAAAGGCACGUCGAAAAGUGAGAUUUGACAUUGCCUUGUUCAGUUCCAUGGAGGACUACCAACUAUACAAGCAACACUUUGCUUAGAGACGAGUAGUUCCCAAGAGAAAUAUUAAUUUUCCUCAACUUCAGCAUUUCGAAUUUAAGGGUCUAUUUACUAGGAUGGUUGGUUGUCUAUUGUCACAAUUUCGGAGCCGGUUUUCCUGACCUUAGUGCGAGUUUUUUACUCGAGGGCGACUUAUGGCAUGGGUGGCAUGAUCAUUUCUACUGUUGGAGGAGUUGAGAUCUGUCUGGACCCAGAGAGCAUCUGCCAUAUUUUCGAUAUUGCUCUGGUUGGACUCAAAGUAUACAAGUCCAAAAUGUGGCCCAUUGUGCCAGGAUUUGAGCUUAGAGAGGUCAUUCAGAGGAUUUGUGAACUUCCAGACGCCCAGGAGAUGGGCAAACCAUUGCCACACAGUUUGACGGUCAUCAACAGGGUGCUACACCAUAUAUUGUGCUCUAUCUUUCUACCACGAAGUGGACAUUGAGAUGAGGUCUCUUAUUAUGAGGCAUUCCUUAUUGACUCCAUUCUAACGGAGAGACGAAUUCAUCUACUAUGUCAUCAUUCACUAAGCCUCCUCACAGUGACAUACCACCUCAUCAGGCACCUCUUGCUCCUGACCAUGCUCCAUUGAUGGAUUUAUUUACUCAUAUUAGCUCUCUAGGCACUCGCAUGAAGGAGUUUGUUGUAGUUAGUGAUACAUGGUUCUACUCCAUAGAGGAUCGCAUGGAUCAGUAUCAGACUGGCUUCACGUCACAGUUUGAGUAUCUCCAAUAGAGGAUUGAGCAUAUUGAGGAUCACUUGAGCAUGAGAAGAUGAUGGCUUUUCUAUGCUCUGUGUUUCCACCUCCACCUCGUCAACCUUGAUUUCUUAGAGACCCAUUGUUUUCAUUUUGUAAUGUUGCCAAAAGGGGGAGAUAUUUAGGAUCUAGGACUCUAUAGGAGACUUACAUGCAUAUCAUUUUCAUAUCAUUGUUUGGAUCGUACAUAUUGGAUAGUGAUACUUUUUACUUAUAUAUGAUAUGCCUAUAUGUUUCAUGUCUUACAUUGUUUCUUAUUGCAAAUUAUCUCUAACAUGUCUUGAUUAUCUUUUUUUUAACUUCAUAAAUUUUGAUUGUUAACCCAUGAUUGGUUUGAGGGGAAGAUUCUUCUUCUCCUAGAUAACCAAGGUUUGUCAUCAUAAAAAAAUUGGAGAUUGUUAGCCCAAGGGUUCUCCUAAUCAUGUUUUGAUGAUAACAAACCAUGCUUAAGUUACUAAUUGGUUUGAAUUAUAAAGAAUUUCAAGUGUUAAUUUGAAAAUUCAUCAAAGAACCUAAUGGAUGCAAGAUCAAGAUUUUUGGAAGACCUUUAAUCAUAAGAAACAUAUGUAAGAUGAAUGCAUGGGUGCACUUAAGAUUUGCAUAUCAUUUCAUGCAUAUUUGGAAAACACGGUUUAUGCUUUAAAGUUACAUUUCCAUCAAAAUUUGAGAUCCAUCAAAUGAACCUUAGGAAAAAUGUUUUAAAAUUGGCAUAUAAUUUUACCUAAAGACCUUGCCUAAGUGUUAGAAGCAAAAGGACAAAAAAAAUAUAGGUUUUCUGGUCAAAAAUGGUGAACCAGUCAAGGCAUUGUCUAAAUCAGCUCAAUCGGCCAAGGUACCGGUCGAUCGGUUUCCCUUUCCCUGUCGAGAUCUAGUCAAGAGGUACAAAAAUCACAAUCUCUGUCUCUUUCUCUCUUUGUCUAUCUUCCAGUAGUCUUUCCUUCCCGGUCGAGGGAUUUGCCUUCCCGAUUGAGGUCCGAUUGAGAGUAAUAGUCACUUGCCAAAUAUUAAAUGCUCCAACAGUUAGUGAACUGGUCGACCCCCACCUUGCCCAGUUGAGGUUACUUUUUGGUUUUCUUGGCUCCCGAUGUUAGAAACCUAUAAAUAGAGAGUUCCACUUCAUUUAUGAGCAAGAGAACACUUGCAUUUAUUUGUUUACCUACUUGUUCUUGCCUUAAAAGCUCUCAUUUCUUUUCUUGGUGCAUUAAAUCUCCAUUUUGAUAUCCUUUAGUGCACCUUUGUGAUUCAUCUUAGCCUUGAGUUGUAUUUGAGCCCUUUUUUUAGCUAGGUUGAGAGUUUCAUACUUGUUAAUUGAGUGUUAAAGCCUUCAAGUGAGUUGAAACUUGUAGAGAUUAUGUGAGAGUCGAUUGGAGCCGAAAUCCAAGUGUAAAGGUGAUUAGAAGCUUGGUUGAAGCUUCAAGUUAGUGGAAUCCUCACUCAAUUAGGAGCUUGAGGAGAGUGGACGUAGCCAAGGAAGUGUCGAACCACUAUAAAAUUUGAGUUUGAUUUCUCUAACAUUGUCUCUUUAUAUUUGUUUAUCUUGUGCUUAAAUUUAUUGUGUUUAAAAAGAAUUUUUAAAUACCCAAUUCACCCCCCUCUUGGGUGUUUUUCUCUUUUAAAAUUAGCCUUUAUUUUCUCACAAACUAUUGUAGUAUAGUGGUUUUUAGGUGUCAUCCAUUAGGAUGAAUUGUUCUCGGUAAUUAAGGCGUGAAUGAGAGGAGAAUUAAUGAUUGUGAUUAAGUAAAAUUGAUUUGAAAAUUCAUGGUGAAAAAUCAAUUUAACAAUGGUUUCUAAUUGAGAAAAACAAUGAAAUGUGAAAUAAAAUAAAAUUAAUAGGAAAUGAAAUUCUCGAAGUUAGAAUUUUCUAAAAAACAAAUUCCAUGGUGAAUGGAUGUUGAGAUCUAAUUUUCAUCAAGUUAGAUUGAAAACCGAAAUUUUCAUAUAAACUGAUUUUUUAUUUAGUUUUAGGUCUAGAUUUAAUUUCCCUUAAAAUUAGGUUAUUUAAUCCAAGAAAUCAAUUCAAAUCAUAUAUUCAAUUCAUCUUAAAUUAUCUUCCAAUUAUUCACACAAUGCAACUAUUCAAUCUCAUCAAAUCUAGCUUUUAAGAAUUUAAUGAAUCUACCUAGUUUGCAUUGUAAUAGUCAUCCAUGACAAUUUGAAGAGAAAAAUAAUUCAAUUAAUCAAUCACUUGGAUCAAAUUACCUUUGCAAUUAAAGUUCAUUUCUCUAAUUCACCACAGAUUUUGUCUCUAGAUCCUCCUUUCUCAAAGAAAAAUGAGAUUUAGCCACACAUGAUUGGAGAUUUGGUCUCAUAAGGCAUGUUUAGCUAGUGAUAAAAUGAGAGAAAAUAAAGAAAAAUAGAGAAUUCGAUUAAGAAAGAAAAUCUAAAAAAUUCUACAAUUAGAAAUGUCCAAAAAGCUUUUUCAUGAGAAAAUCAAGUUUCUAUUUAUAGGCCAAGGUCAAGUGGACACUUGACAUCAUCUAAGAGGUCUUCCGGAAGCUUCUUCAUCAAGAAAUCUGGAGUUUAAUAAUAAAAUGGUCAUUUCACAAGAGCUCAAACAAUUUCGCAUGAUUAUGUGAAAUAAAAAAUGCAACAACAGCAAUUUACAUCUUCUUGGAGCAUUUCGCAUGACUGUGUGAAAUUUUCACAUGAUCAUGUGGAAUCGACUUGACAACUCUCAUUUAGCCUACAACAUAAUUCCACCUUUUGGUCCAUUUUUCAUAGUCAUGCGAAAUGGAAAUAUUUGAUUUUUAAGUUUUCUUUUGUCAUUUCUUUCAUUUCCUUCUCUUGAUUCCACUUCAACUACCUCCGAAUCCUGGUCCAAACCAAUUGCAUUACUUCUUUCAUUAUGCAUUUGGAUCAUCAUCAACAUUAUUUGUUCUCUUCAAUUUGAUUCAUCUCUUUUGUCACCAAUUUAUCAAAAUCAUACCUUGAAAUGACUCCAAAACUUCAUAAAACUUGUUAGUAACUCUUGCAAGGGCAACAACAUAUUAAUUAAGUGUUUUAGGCAUAGUUACUACUCAAAAGAUGCGAAACUCAUGAUAAUUAUUAUAUAAAAUAUGCUCUUUUUGAGUAGUAAUCAACUUUCUUGCAUAAGCAGACCUUUUAGGGUGGAGUACUAAAGACCAAUAUGCUUGUCCUUGUUGUAAUAAAGAAACUUGCUCUUAUUGAUUGCACCAUGGGAGAAAAUUUUGCUACAUGAGUUAUCAUCAAUUUCUUCCCACCAAUCAUAGAUUUAGACGUGACAAGAGGCCUCUUAAUGGCAAGGAGGAACUGACACUCACACUUAUACAAUUAUCGGGCAUUGAUGUGUUGCAACAAUUAGAAUAACUUACACCAAUUAUGUUGGGGAAGUCACAAAAGGCAAACAUGAAAACUAAAAGGAAAAAAGAAAAAUGUUACAUAUCACCACAACUGGAAAGAAAAAAGUAUUUACUUUCAUUUGCCAUAUUGGAAAGCACUUAUUUUACAUCAUAAUAAUUUAGACAUAAUGCAUAUUGAGAAAAAUGUGUGACAAUAUAAUUGAGACAUUGUUCAGUAUUGACGAAGAAACAAGGACAACCUAAAUAGUCAUCUCGAUUUACAAGCUCUAACUAUUAGAAAUGAGAUUCACCCAAUAGAAAGCAGGACCAAAUUUAUUUUGCUUGCAACAUGCUACUCACUCACCCCAAAUGAGAUUAAGGAAUUUUGCAAGUUUUUGAAAUCAAUAAAGGUCCCCAAUGGCUAUUCUUUCAAUAUCUCUCGUUAUGUGCAACUCAAUGAAAGGAAGAUAUAUGAGCUCAAAUUGUAUGAUUGUCAUGUCCUAAUGCAACAACUUCUCUCACUUGUAGUUCGUGGAGUUCUACAUAAGAAUGUUUGUGGAGUUAUCAUAGAAUUGCGUAAUUUUUUCAAGCAAUUGUGCUCAAAGGUGUUAGAAACAAAUCACUUACACCAACUUGAGAACAAUAUUAUUGUCAUACUAUGUAAAAUGGAGCAAAUAUUUCUUCCAUCAUUCUUUGAUAUUAUGGUGCAUUUACUUGUGCAUCUAGUAAGGCAAAGGUUGCAAGACUUGUGCAAUAUUGUUGGAUGUACCUAAUUGAACGAUAUUGUUAUAAUUUCAUAUGAAUCAUUUAAUUUUAUUUUAUAUUAUGUUCAGUUCAUUAACAUGUACAUUGGUCUACAUAUGGAUGAUGAUAGGUACCUAAGCACUUUAAAGUCAUAUGUGCGUAAUAGAACUUUUCUAGAAGGUUCUAUUGUAGAAAGGUACCUUGCAAAAGAAUGUACAACAUUUUAUUCUAGGUACUUGAAUGAUGUGGAAAUAAAGUAUAAUCACAAUGAUAGAAACUUUGUUGGUUUCAACACUAGAGGAGAUGAAAGGGGUUAUCUUUAAACAUAUUGGACAUGCAUUGGGAAAGCCCAUAUUUCAUUAACUUAGUUCAAAAGAGUGGUCACAAGCACAUUUAUAUGUGUUGACAAAUUGCGAAGAUGUCAUACCAUUCAUUGAGUAAAAAAUUUAUUUGAAUUUUAAUUAAAGCUCUAGUUUAUAUCCUUAAUCAAUGUUUUUUAAAUUCACAAGGAGCACAAGCAAACCAUCAAGGCUAGACCACAUAUACGUGUUUGAGACGUAGAUUUAAUUCAUAACAAGGAAUUUAUCAAGUGGUUUGAAAGACAUGUAAGUAUAUUCCUUAUUAUAAGGGAUUUAUUUCACAUUAUGUUUAUAUUGAAUCCAAACCUAUUAUUGAAUUGUAGGUUGAACAAUUACAUAAUGAAGGUCAUAUAUCUGAACACCUUCUCACAUUAUCAUGUGUUCCAAAUUCAUUAGUUACAUGCUUCAAAUGAUAUAUUGUCAAUGGAUUUAGAUCCCACAUUAAAGAACGUGAUAAAAAAGUUUUUAAAAAAAGACUCAGAAUAAUGGAAUUGUUGUAGUUGCAAAAACGUCAAGCUUUACAAGUGCAUGUGAUAUGAGUCCAAUUAUUAGUGAUGCUCUCUACUAUGGUGUUCUAACUAAAGUUGUUGAGUUACAUUAUCUUGGUGAAAAUAAGGUUGUUUUAUUCGAGUUUGAUUGGUGGGAUGUUACAAAUAUUGGAAAAUUGAUAAAAGAUGAUGAGUACAAUUACACAUUUGUUAACUUUGCAUGAAUUCUAACCACGAACGAACGAUUUGUACUUGCAUCUCCAGCAAAGUAAGUGUUCUAUGUGAAGAAUGCGAAUGAAUCAGAUUGGCAUACUAUCAUGGAGAUGCAACCUCAAGACCUCUAUAAGAUGAACGGGAUAGGAUCCAAUGGUGAUUUUGAACCAUUUCAACAAAGUGAACUACAUGAUCACUAAUAUAUCUCAGAUUUAGUUGAUGAAGAUAUAAUCAAGUGGAACAAAAGUGAUGUUUUAGGACUAAUCAUCCUAAAAAAUAUUGUAGUUUCUUAAAAAAAAAAUGAAAAUGAAGAAGAUAAUUGAACCUUUGUCAUACUUUAAAAAGCAACUAUGCAUUGUUCAUUUUGUAUGUUUUGGUUUUCUUCAUUUAAUUUCCUGAUUUUUGUGAUUCAAUGUCAUAUUAUUGAUCUUGAAAUAUUUUUCUAAUUUUUCAUUCUACGAUGGUUUCAACAAGGAUGACAUCAAGUCAAAAAAGGAAAUGUGGUCCCACACACAAUAUUGCAUUACAGGGAUUAAGGUCAGGGAAGAAGGUAAAAGUUGCAUUUAAUGAGUACAAUCAAUUGGUUAAACAGAAAAAUGGAAAACACUUAUCGAGCUACAUAGGGACACUUGUAUCUAACCAACACAAUGUACCUCUCCAAGCUAGUGAUUGGAAAAAUGUUCCAAAUGAUGCAAAAGAGAAAGUAUGGCCUUUGUUUUGGUAUGUUGUAUUUCUCACUAUAUGAUGUCAUUUCACUGUUAUUCUAUUUUGUGACUAACGUUUGAAUCAUAUGUAAGAAAAAUUUGAAGUAGAUAAAGACUGAAAAGAUUACAUGUUGGGUAUAGCCUCAAAUAAAUAUAGAAGCUAUAAAAAUAUGAUGAAUGCAAAAUACUAUGACCCUUGGCAUAAGGAUGCAUGAGGAGAGGUUAAUACAUAAAUCACCAUUUGUCUCUGAUGUUGAUUGGAAGUGGCUUGUCUCUGAUGCAUAAACCAAAUCCCCCACUGAAUGUUUGAUAUUUGAUAGCAGGAAAAACACACCCGCAGCUAUACACCUCCAUCAUUCAGAUAAUUAUAGUGGGGGAGAUGAUUCAUGGUUGCCCUUAUACCCUUUAUUUGCACCAUCUAUUGAGAUUCUUUAUCAUGGCCAGGUUUUACUGCAGCAAUAAGAUAUGGUGGCAACAAUUUUAUCUAUAGGUGCGGUUCCAGACCGCCUCCAUAGGUGCGGUUCCUGACUGCCUCCAUAGGUGCCUCUUCUUGUAAUGUUUGUUCUGGGAAUUACACUUGAAAGCCUUAUCGUGAUAAGGGAUUACAAACACUAGUUCAGAGGACAGCCAUGUUAAACUUCCACUAUGUUUGUGUCACAUUAUCAGCAGCCUAGUGUUUAUUGGUCAUGCUAUCUGCAACUAAUAUAACCCGGUGAACUUCAAUCUAAAUUCUGAAAGUACUCAUGUGACAGAUGGUGCCUUUCAGCAGAUAUCAUCAAUUUAAAAGUAGUGUGUGUGCCUAUAGGUGGGAAGGCCUUGGCAAAUGUUCAGUAUUCCGGUAAUUCAAGAAGGAUAUAUCUAAAAUAGAUUUUCUUCUUGCCCAUUUCAAUAGUUAAAAUUUGAGAAGAUUGUGUCCACAUCACACAAAUAUUAUUGGUCCUUCUGUUGCAAUUUACCUCUGAACAUGUCUUCCAAUUCCCACGGUCCUGUUACUCCAGGAAAACUAUUUCGGUCAUAUUGAAAAAAAAAAUAUUAAAGAAGGUACACAUGCUUUUAAGUGGACUGGGGCAUUCAUAUCAGGUGGUCUGUAUCCACAUAUGCCACUUCGUGAAAGGUGGAACAGCCUAAUCACUAGGCUAUUUAGUGUGGCCCAGCCACGUUAAUCAAGCACAAGUCUUCAUACUUAAAGUCAAAUGGUGUCUUUAGUCUCAUUACACAUCGCUAUUUGAAGAUUAACUCAUCACUAGUGUAAUGCGAUUAAGACAGUCCUAACUCAAUAUUUGUUCUAGUUUUGGAUGCAAAUGCUUGCUGGUUUCAUCAUUGGAUGGGAUAAAGGUGCAAUCAGGACUAUGAAUACGUGCAGUAAUACUUCAUUCUCUUUUUUCUCAAUGAGACUUCUUGGCACAAUUUUGCUGCUCAGCAACCUACCUUUCCAUGGAAAAUCAGUUGUGACUGAUAGUAAUGGAUAUAUUCUAGAAAGCUAAACAUAGAUAGCAUUCAAUAUUAUCGAUAUAACAUUAACAGCGUAUGUCUCAAUGCUCAUCAGCUACAAGCAAUGGACAAACACUUUGAGUAACUCACAGCAGUCAAAAUUCCUAAACAGGACAGACGUGACAGAUCUAUAUAUAGAACACUGCAUAUGAGUCACAGGAAAAGAUAAUACGGGUACAUAGAAGCUCUUAUUUUACAUAUUACUCAUACUGAUCAAAGUCGCUCAGUUGGGAUGGAUGGGAGAAGGAGGUUUGAGGGGUGGCUUGUGCGGGGAAGUUGGCAGCUUCUUUCCGGGAGCUGGUUGCUUCUUUGCUGGAGUUGAAGGAGGCUUAAUCUUCCGAGGUGGCUUGUAUGAGUCUUCAGCAUUCUCAGCAGGAGGGUGACCAGGGUUGUGACCAUAAUGUGGUGGCUUCUCUCCCUUAGGUGGUUUGCCAACUGGGGUUGGUGGCUUGUUUUCUGGGAGUGGCUUCUCUCCCUUGGGUGGUUUGCCAACUGGGGUUGGUGGCUUGUGUUCUGGGAGUGGCUUCUCCCCCUUGGGAGGUUUUUCGAAUGGGGUGGGUUUGUGUCCUGGUGGUGGCUUCUCUCCCUUGGGAGGUUUACCAAUUGGGGUCGGUGGCUUGUGUUCUGGGAGGGGCUUCUCUCCCUGGGGAGGUUUAGUGGGUGGCUUGUGUUCUGGAGGUGGCUUCUCCACCGGAGGCUUAUGCUCUGGUGGUGGCUUCUCGAAGGGGGGAUGCUCAGGGUAAUCACCAAGUGAGGGGGUGGUGAGAACCACCAUGCCAAGCAACAACACUAGCAAGUAUGUAGUAGACAUCUUUGGGUUUGGACUCAGACAGUGCAAAACUACGAGAAAUCGCUAGCCCUUUAUAGCGGCUCGGACCUAAUACUGACAUAAUAUAAAAUAAAUAUUAUAUUUUAUCAAGAGAGAACAGAGUGUAAUUUUAUCAUUAAUACCGAUCGAGGCCAAAGAAAGAAGACCCAUAAUCCAUUUCCCACAAGCAUACACAAUGCAGCUGUAAUUUUAUCAUUUACUUUUAUCCCUUGGACCACUGCAUUUUUGUUGAGAGACACAAUAACACAUUUUUAUCUGUCAUUCAACAUUUACAGUAAAGAGAGGGCACAAAACGCAAUUAGAUAAAUUAUGUUUUGCCUGCUAAAAAGAGGCAAAUAACUUUAUUUGCAACAUAAUUAUUUUGGUUUCUAGUGACCCCGGGGCCUUUCGGUUGGUUUGGGAUCGGAAAAUGAACAUCAUAGGGGGGGUUGUGCCCUUAUGGGCAUAUAUAUCUGAUAGCUUCAACUGGCCUUGUUCCUAGAAAGAAAUUGCCAAAGAUAUAAACUUAUUCCAGGCUGAAAGUAGAUGAGAGUCAUAAUGAACAUCAACCUUUGUUCAGUUUGAUUCAAUGCCCCCAUAGUGUUCAUUUCACAGAUCUGAAUGAUUAUAUCCGUUGAAUACAUAAAUUAAUGAAGACAAAUAUGAAACCCAAGAUACAUCUCUGCAUAACAACCCCAACCCUGGUUGCUAUGUUUCCCUUCUUCUAUUCACAUGAGGAUACUGGUUAUAAUUGUCAAACUUGCAACAAGCCCUUUGACACCUAACGUCAAUGGACGAAUUAAAAGUCUCCUUCAAACGUCUAUUUCACAGCAUGAAGCUUAUAAAGGAUGCUGACAACCUUCAGAGUUAGCGACAAAAGAUAAUUAUCAAGGAGAGAUAGUUCCAUGAGAAUUCCAAGGAGUCUGAAUCAAAGACAAAUUGCUCACUCAAGGGUUCUUAUUUUCUUUUAGGUACAAAUCUCUUGAGUGUUGUUAAAGAAACACGUCACUGUCAUUUUGAUUUGCAUUUAACAUUUCACUUUUGUUCUGGAAGGUUUGUUCCGGAAACAUAUCAAAUGAGCAUCAUUUUCUUCUUCGGUGACACAUGGUCGCGAGUACGUGGGUCCAUUUUCAUGCCACUUAGUUGAAAAGUUGGAAAGAAAAAACAUGCCAACAAGAAGAUAGUGAGAGAAGGGGCACUUCAAGCCUUUAACAUGAACAAACAGUAAAUAAAAGAUGUUUCUCCACUCAUAAAAGUGUGUUAGAUAGCAAUAUAACGAAUCACAUCCAAAAUCUUUACUAGGCUCAAACAUAAAGAAGACUCAUUUUUAAGAAAAGAUAAAAAUGGCAUUGUCUGAUAGUAUCCAAUACACGAGAUGGCACUUAAUUUGUACAAGAUCUGUCAAUGCUGACGCACAUUUUCUGAUUAAAAAAAAACUGAUCAGUCAAAAGCAAUGAAGAGAAGUGAUGACAAUGAAUGAUGCUUCCAAUAUUUUCACCCCUUAUAGUGUUCUUCAUGAUUCAGAUAUAUAAUUGGAAAUAGAACAACCCUAUGCCAUACAUUCGUCUAAGUAUGGUGUCUAAUUUUUUGUGUCAGCGGUUGCGAAUGGAGCGUGCAAAAGUCCAAAUUGGCGUCUCUCCAUUUCCACAUAGGAAGGUGACCUUUAUUGACAAAUACCCAAUAUUUGUAGACAUUCCUUAAAUAUCAUAACUUCUUGUUGAUUUGAAAAUCAUUUUUCAACUACCAUGUUUUAAUAAAUAUUUUUUAAAAUGUAUUUUUAUCAAAGUCCACCAUGAUGGAUAAUAUUCACCAUGCAAUAAUUAAUAAAGUACAAACUAAGCGAAAUGAAAAGCAUUUUCUUUGCUUUGAGUUGAUUUUGGUUGCAUUGAGUUGAUUUUGGUUUCAUGGUUUUUUCAACUCUUAUUUUGAUUGGAAGAUGUCAAGAAAAGAAAACAUAAAGAAAAAUUAAAAGGGAAAAAAGAAGAAAAAUAAAAAAAAAUAGAUUUAAAAGUUAAUAAAUUAUUUUUUAUAUUUAUUUUAAUUCAUUUCACUUAUUUUUCUUUUACUAUAUAAAAUUUAAAUAAUUUAAAUUUUAUAAUUAAUUUAAUUACAUUUCAUUUUCUUCUAUAUUUAAAUAUUGGAAAAAUAUUUUACUUAAUAUUUUUUUCUUUAAUUUCUUUGGCAUUUUGGGAACCAAACUUAGCCUUUAAAAUAAAAAACAAAAAAAAAAUGAAAAUAAGGAGGGAAAAGUGAGAAAAGAUAAAAACAAUAUGUAAAGGAUUUGAAAAGUAUUAGUUUGUAAUUACUAUUUGGAUUUCAAUAGUAUUUUAUUUGUCUUUCUAUAUUUCAUGUAAGAGAGAAUUUAAGAUAUUCCCCAAGGCAAAGCAUUAGUUACCUGCAAUCAGUGGUGAUAAGGCUCCAAGCCAAUUUUGGGCCCCAUAUCUUAAGACAGUACAAUUUCCAUUUCAACAUUUCUGAUUUCUCAGAUGUUUCACAUACCACAGAAGAACAUUGUUUGUGAAAAUAUGCAUUUAUGUUGGAUUUUGUAUGCUGUGGGGACUGGGGCAAGGAUCAUAUGGAAGAGUGGUUGACUUUUUCUGUACUUUAACGGUUGAAAUAGGAUAAGCACGGGCAUUUGUGAGGCUUAAUUGAUUUUGAAGCCUGAAAUUGCGUUUCUGUCAUUUUGUCAAAAAAAUGGCAGAUUCCAUACUCAUAUGUUUGGCCUGUGGCCAUGUACAGAUGCCAUUUAGUGACCAGUUUGUAACUGUCAAUCGUUGCGUUUUGACUCUGCCUCAACAACAUCUGCCAUUGACGGGUUUUCAUACUUGCAAAUCAAAUAGUCUUUCGUCCCAUCAGGAAUUUCGGUUUAAAUAUUAUUAAGCAUACGUUUGGCUGACAAUCAUUAUCCAGUUCAUGAUUUGGUUUCUUACCCUUAAUCAAUGGUUUCUAAGUGAAUAUAUGUAGAAGGAAAUCCGAAGUGUAGACAGUAGUAUCGAUAACUCUCAAUAUUCUCUAUAUAAUAGAAUAAACAGCGUCAUAGUGAUCGUCGCCUACAAGCAAGGUACAAAUACCAAAACGAGUGACUCACAUAGACAUCUCCCAACAAGAUGUAGUAGUGACUGACACAUGGACACAAUUAACUCGUAGAAAAGGAUAAGACCAUUGCACAGCAGCUCUUAUUUUACAUACUACUUAUGCUAACCAAAGUCAAUUAGUUGGGAUGGGUGGGAGAUGGAGGUUUGUGCGGUGGCUUGUGGGGCGGAGUUGAUGGCUUCUUUCCAGGAGCUUCUGGCUUUUUCAUCGGAGCUGAAGGAGGCUCAAUCUUAUGAGGCGGCUUGUAUGAGUCUUCUUUACUCUCGACAGGAGGGUGGCCAGGGUUGUGAUCAUAAUGUGGUGGCUUCUCUCCCUUAGGUGGCUUGCCAACUGGGGUUGGUGGCUUGUGUUCAGGAAGUGGUUUCUCUCCCAUGGGAGGUUUAGCAAUUGGGGUUGGUGGCUUGUGUUCUGGGAGUGGCUUCUCUCCCUUGGGAGGUUUAGUAGGUGACUUGUGUUCUGGAGGUGGCUUCUCCACCGGAGGCUUGUGCUCCGGUGGUGGCUUCUUGGUUGGAGGGGGCUUGGGGUAAUCAGCAAGAGAUGGGGUGGUGAGAACCACCAGUCCAAGGAACAACACUAGCAAGUAUGUGGGAGACAUUUUUGAGUUUGGGCUGAUCAGAUGAUGCAAAACUAAAGCAUUACGUGACCUUUUAUAGCAUGUAGCUCCCAAUACCCACUAAGUAUUGUGGGGUCCAUUUGUGCCCUACGGGGUUGAAAACUUAGACAAUUGGGCAAGGACCCACCUGACUAUGGAGGACUAGUGAGGUGUGAUCAUAGCUUUAGGAUUUUUCUUCCUCUGCAGCCGUCGUGCCGUUGGCAUGAUUUUCUUAAUCUUAAAUAAAGGCAUAGUUAUAGAGUUGUUUAAUCUCUAAAUGGGAUUUUAUAUAUAUCUUCAGAUAGCCAUUAAUAUAUUUGAUGAAGAAAGAAAGACAAGUGCAUACAACAUGUAUACGACUAGCUUUCAUGGAGUUCAUUUAUGAUCAGUUUUCCUGUACAUGUAAACCAGGAUCAUAUAUAUGUUUCUGUUCCACAACUAUUUUGGAAUCUUGUUUAUCAGUUUUUAUCAUUAUAAUGUCACAUAGGCUGCCAACUUGGGCGCUAAAAGAACCAGUUGGGCUAGUUCGUUUCAGAAUUUCAAUGUGGAUUCAGGAAUUGUUUUGUAAGAUAUGCGAAAUAGUAGAGGGAUGAAUAGUGUUUCAUUAAUAAAAGUGUCCUGUAAAUUAGAAGGUGUCAUAGAAACUAUAAUCAAUAAAUAACUUUUUUUCCCCACGGGUGGUGUUUCUUGUGGGGAUCAGUGACUGGUUUAGGUUCACCCAAAAUGAGUUCAGACUAAAAUUGGUUUGAGUCAAUGCCGUGUCUCUUUUUUCCAGAAAUCAACUAUUUUAUGCAUUGAAUAAAUCAUACAAAGAAAAUAUGAACGCCCGCAAAACCUAAACCCUGGUUGCUAACUUUCUAUGUUUCAGUUCUAUUCACGCAAGAAUAUUAGUUUAAGUUUGGGAAAAAUGGCAACUUACCUAGUGAUUACUUGGUUUUGGUUUGCGACUAUUUACGCAACCAACCAUGAGUUUGACUUUAACGUCAUGGGUUGAAGCCUCCUACAGGAAGGGAGAAAGCUCCACAGCUAGCUCCAAAAGAGAAUUAUCACAUUGAUAGCUCCAGAGAUUCCCAAGGGGACUGAAUCAAAGACAAGUUCCUCACUUUUUCUUCUUUUGAGGCCAAAUAUGAACCAAGGAUCACACAACCUCAUUCAACUUCAUAAGUUUGAUUUCAUGCAGUUGAACACUGGGUGAAGGCCAUGACAAGAAUUGAUUCAAAAAUUCUAUCACUCUUUUAAGUAAUGGAAGAUUAUUAUCUCUGAUUGGCAUCACAACAGCACAUGCUCCUAGAUCUUUCUAGACACUCCAUGCAAUGAAAGCACAAUGGAUCUUGUAACGAUAGAAACUAAGCCAUGCUACAGUACUAGAUGAUGAGGUAAAACUAGUAGACACGGGUGGCAGCCUAUAUGGGAGGGACACAAGUCUAAUUGAUUUGCAUUUCAGCAUUAUAGAUAGGUAUGUUUUGGAAGAUUUGUUCUGGAAAUACCGCACCAAGUAGGAUUCUUUUUCUCUUUAGUGGGUCCACUUGCAUGCCAAUUAACGAGUUGAAAAGUAUGAGCACCUACCUCGUGCUCGUGGAACCGAAGGUCAGUGAAGUGGGGCUCCUUUUGGCCUCGUGUAAACUUGAUUCAGAAGUGAAGUUAAUAGUCUUCCAUUCAGAUGGAUACAUGGGAAUUUUUCUCUUUUAUUUAUUUAUUUAUUUUUUUUUUGUGUGUGUAUGUCAAAGGAUAAUGAAUGAAGCGCGUUAGCUUGUUUUCUGACUGGAACCGCAGAUGUCCAAAUUGGAGUUCCUUCAUUUCUUACUUAGGAUUGUUACAUGUAUAAACAAGGUAUAAGAAAUAUGCCAACGUGUCUUGAGGAGUUAUUGAUUAGAAAUAACAAGUCACCCGACUGUAGAGUUCCAAGAUUUGAAUCUUCAGACCCUAUAGCAGCCUCUGGGGUACGUGGCAUCCUAUAGCAUAUUAAUGAAGGCUUUUUCGAUUUAGACUUCACAAUACCAAUUAAUAUGUAUGCACAAAAUGGAGAUGACCCCAAAAAAAACAGAAUCGCCAUAGUUUAUGAGGUUAAGGUGAUUCUCCACUUAAUAUCUACAUUAGCUAAUUAUGUAAAUCAAAUGAACUUCUAUUUUUCCUUUUUUUUUUUGGUUUAUGUCAAAUAGUAGCCCAUAAUUAACCCAACCAUUAGCCUGUUUGAAUUGAUUUCACAUGCACAAUGUUGUAGUAGUUCAUAUUUUGAAUUUUAUUUUUACAAAGGUAGUUAAGGAAAAUGAAGUAUAAUAAUUAUAAAAGCAGACUAUAUACACUACAAUAAUUGUUAGAAUGGUAUCUCAAAUUCUAAUUUAAAAUAUUAUUUUUUGUAAAAGAAAUAUUAUAUAGAAUAUUUCCUAAUUUUAUAAAUGAUUAUAAUUAGAUCUUUAUAAAAUAAGGAAAGUUGGUAAGAAUAUCUUUAUAAAUAUUUUAGGUCAUGAGAGAAAGAAAUGGGAUAAAAAUGUGAUGAAGAGGUGAAAUAAGAGAGUUGAUUAGGAUAUAGAUGUGAAGAAGAAAGGGAUUCAAUAUAUAUAUAUCUUUCAAUUACCACAUUAAAACCCUGUGAACCUUUUAUAUGGUUUACUUUAUUUUUAUAUUCCUCCUUUAAUAUAUUUACAUUAAUGCUUCCAUUGGCACAACAAUAACGAAUUACAAAUACAAGCAACAAGUCCCAUGUUUUAUUACCAAAAGCAGGUAAAAUCCACCUAAUAUAUUACAAUAUAUUCAUCCAAUAUUUUAGACCAAUUCUUCACCAUAAAUAUCAUAAUGUGGCUUUUGUUCUUUCUUAAAUUUAAAUUGAAUUGUCUUAUAUCAAUUUGUUUGUGAUUUUUUCAUUAACUUCACUUUCAUUUGGUUAUCUUUGGUUUUUGAAAAGUAUUAAGGAAUUAAUUAACAAAAUAAUGUUAAGAAAAAUAAUUUUCUCUCUUUUGAUUUUGAUUUUGUAGUAGAAAAAUAUAAUUAAAAUUAUUUAAAAAGUAUGUAAUUUUAAAUUAUUUAAUAUUUAGAUAAAAAAAAUAAGUCUAAUGAGUUUAAAAUAACAUAUAAAAAUAAUUUAUUUAUUUUAAAUUUAUUUUUUAUUUUCCAUUAUGUUCUCUUUCUCUUUUACUUUUUCAUAUUUUUUCUUACGAAGAAUCAAACACAACCUCAUAUUAUAUGUCAAGUGUUUGUCUAUAUUUGAGCAAUGUUAGAUACGGCCAUGGAUUCAUCAAACUAAACUGAUUUUAAUAGAUACUUCACAAAUUGAUUUAUACACUAAAUCAUUGGAUAGCAAUGAUGCAUUGGAAUUAAACGUAGGAUGAAGCUCGAAGAACACUGUUUGUGUAACAACAUAUUUAUGAAAUUAUGCAAAGGAUGAGCUUCGGGGUAGUAGUACAAGGUCAUUAAUGGAGAGCCGUGUUAAACCUUGAUUGUGAUUGGAUUCCGUUAUCAGCAACAGCAACCUUGUUUGUAACCUUGAAAGUCAUUCUGUCCACAUCGAAACUCCAAUUUGACGUUUGUAAUUACCAUUCCUGGAGUGUUCCUUGAUUGAAAUUUAAAUAAUAAUUGCGGCCCACAAGGAAUAUUUUCGAUUCUGUGGGAAUUUGACAAGGUUUGUUAGAGAAGACUGGUGACAUGUUGACUUCAAUGGUUCAAAUAGGAGACGUAUGUGGAUUUGGGGGGUUUAAUUGAAACUGAGUCCCUAUGGCUUUUUAAUAUUUGCAUUGAGCAGUCUCCAUGUGACUUCCUAAUUCCCACCAACCCUCCUGUCCAUGCUGUGAAACUAAAUUGUAAUUUAUCAGCCUUUGUCAAUGGUUUCUAAAUUAAAGAUAUAGACCAUGCAUGUACUUUAAUAAAAGCAAAUCUAAAGUGUAGAUAGCAGCAAUGGUGACACCCAAUAUUCUCCAUAAAAUAGAAUUAGAAUAAGCAGUGUUACAUUGUUCAUGAUCACCUACAAGCAUACAAGAACUUCCAUGAAUAACUCAUAGCAAUUGCCAACAGGGCGUCGUAGAGACUCAUACAUAGAACACUAUCCACCCAGAGGAAAGGACAAGACCAGUGCGCUGCAGCUCUUAUUUUUCACAUGUAUACCACCACUCGUAAUAACCAAAUUCACUCAGUUGGGAUAGGUGGGAGAUGGUGGUUUGUGGGGUGGCUUGUGGGGAGGAGUUGGAGGAGGCUUUAUUUUCUGAGGCGGCUUGUAUGAGUGUGCAGGAGGAUGCCCGGGAGUGUGACCAUAAUGUGGUGGCUUCUCUCCCGUAGGUGGUUUGCCAAAUGGGCUUGGUGGCUUCUCUCCCUUAGGAGGUUUACCAAUUGGGGUUGGUGGCUUGUGUUCUGGGAGUGGUUUCUCUCCCUUGGUAGGUUUGCCAAUUGGGGUUGGCGGCUUAUGUUCUGGGAGUGGCUUCUCUCCCUUGGGAGGUUUGCUAAUUGGGGUUGGCGGCUUAUGUUCUGGGGGCGGCUUCUCUCCCUUGGGAGGUUUGCCAAUUGGAGUUGGCGGCUUAUGUUCUGGGAGUGGCUUUUCUCCCUUGGGAGGCUUGCCAAUUGGGGUUGGCGGCUUAUGUUCUGGGGGUGGCUUCUCUCCUUUAGGAGGUUUGCCAAUUGGAGUCGGCGGCUUAUGUUCUGGAAGUGGCUUUUUUCCCUUGGGAGGUUUGCCAAUUGGGGUUGGCGGCUUAUGUUCUGGGGGUGGCUUCUCUCCCUUGGGAGGUUUGCCAAUUGGAGUCGGCGGCUUAUGUUCUGGGAGUGGCUUCUCUCCCUUGGGAGGUUUUGUUGGUGGCUUGUGUUCUGGAGAUGGCUUCUCCCCUGGAGGCUUGUGCUCCGGAGGUGGCUUCUGAAAUGGCGGGGGCUUGGGGUAAUGAGCAAGAGAUGGAGUACUGGUGAGAACCACCAUUCCAAGCAACAAUACUAGCAAGCAUGUGGGAGACAUCUUUGAGUAGUUGUAGCUAAGAUGGCGCAACACUGUAGGCAUUGGGUGGCCUUUUAUAAAGGGCUGGACCCAACAGCCAUAUGACACGUGUCAUGAUGACAAAUGAAGUUGAGGGGAUCCAGAUGGGUCCUACUGAGUCGAAAACUUGCACUAAUUGAUCUGGUGAGAUGACUAUUUCUGUCCUUUUGCCCUUCUCGGCCACCCUGUGCUGUUUUCCUUUUGCACGAUUUUCGUUGCCAAACAAGCAAAUAAUAUUUCGCCAAGAAAGAGGAGAGUGAAUGUGGAAUGCAUCAAGUCCCAUCAAGGAUGGCAGAGAAGAAAUAGAAGAUUGCCCAACUGUGAUAAACAUAGCAUACACGUAGCACCAGGAACUUCAUUUACUUCCAUCUAAUGGAACAUAACAAUCUUCUAAAGUUUUUGCAUGAUUUUGUUAUAUGUCUCUUAGCCUAAAGUUGGAAAUGCGCAACAAAUUUUGUCACUUCUCUAUUUCCCACUGAUGAUGUUAAUUAGCCUUCAUAGAUAUCAUCCUUUCUACAAAGUGCUUCAUUUGUGUGUUAUUGUAAAGUGUAAGAAAAGUAAUUGAACAUGUUCUUUUUCCUUUCAUAGAUGACUUUUGAUGUGCAUUUUAAAAGCAGCGCUGUGAGUCGGUGACCUUGAUUCACACGGAAACUAAGGCUCCUAUAGGACCCACUUUUAGCUGGUUAGGGGUGAAGAAAAUAUCAACUUUUCAGAGUGAUUUAAGUCAAGGCCAAGCCUCACUGUGUCAUUACUCGUGUGAAUUUUAUAUGCACAUACAUACAUAAAUAAAGUAUGAGACCCAAAUAACACCUUCCCUUUACAAACUUAACCCCAGCCGCUCUCUUUCAAUUCUUUUCACACAAGGGUAUUGACUCUAUAAAGGUCAAGAAAAUCAUAAUUUCCUAGGGUUUACAAGGUAAUUGGCUUAAUGCUAAUGUGAAAACAUAAAAGAUAAUAGUAUAUUGUAAGCUAACGAAUAUUCUAUAGUUAUAAUUAUUUGUGAUGUGCAUAAAUAAAUCUUCAUAUAUAUAAUGGAACAAUGAAUAAAGAACCAAUGAAAAAAUACUAUAUAUCAUUGCUUGGCAUUUAAACCGUAUAUGCUGCUCUUUCUAGCUACUCCAUCCACUGAAAGACAACAAGGUAAUCCAUGUUAUAAUGAUAGAAGAUACUGUCUCUAGGCUUUUUGUGAUGAAAAAUAUAAGAUAUGGGUAGGGUUGACCCUUGUAUGUUUGUCCUAUAAACACUUCAAAGUAACAUAUUUUUCUUCUUUAGCAACUCAUAAUGAUGGGGUUCAUUUGCAUGUCACUGAGUUGAAAAGUUGGACAAUUGCCCAUGUCGCCUUCCUCCUAGAUUCCGUAGUUCACGGGAAGGUAACUCAAGUUUGACAUAUUUUGAAUUCUUUUCACUCGGACGUCUUCAUAACCUGACAAAACAAAAAUGAAAAACAGAGGAUUGGUAUAUUAUUCAUGGUAAGCCUCAAAUUAUAGUAGUAUGAGAAAGGAGAAAAAGAUUUUGGGAACUCCAAUCUGGAUAAUUCUCGUUUCUUCUCUUGAAUAAAAAUUUCACUUACCUAACUUCGUUUGGAGAAAUGGCAUAUUUUAAUUUUGUACGUCAUUGCUAAUAAAUGGAGCAAUUUAGCAUGUUUUGUGACUGAAACUGCAAAUGUCCAAUUGGCAUUUCUUCAUUUCCCACUUAGGAUCUGAUCUUGUAGACCAUAUAACGAUAUGUAUCUGUGCAAGCAUUGAAAACUAAUGUGAACUAUGAGGAGUUACAAGCCACUGGACUGUAGAGCGAGUGCCAAGAUUUAAAUCUUCAGGCUCUAUCUGGGUAAGGGGAGGAUAGCGACCUAACCUUUUACCAAAGGCUUAGAAUUUAGACUUUUGGAAAAAAAUUUCUCAUGUUUUGGCUGGAUUUCUUGUGCUUGGCGCAAAAAGGAGAUGGCCUCAAGAAAUAGCAGACUCACUUUUGUUUUCAGCCCUUAAUAAUUCUCCACUGCUUUCCAUAACUACAUGGGUUAUACAUGCAGUCUGCUGCAAUAUUCCAGUUAUAUUUAUUAUUUCAAAGAGGGUGAAUGACUUCACAUGCAAUAUGUUGCAGUAACAACCCAAAUUUUGGCACACCAUCUUAAGAAUAGAAAAGUAUAAUAAAAGAAAUCAAUCAGAGAAUCACUUUGCAUGCAGUUCAUAGAGUUCGCCCAAAAUGGAGCCACAUGUACGGACAACCCCACAAUAGACAAUCUUCUCUAUACAGUAAUAAAAUACAGAAAUGGUUAAUGAAGCUCUGUAUUUCCUUAUCAUAUAUGACCGGUUGAAAACUCAGCAAGUCUUCCUCAAUCACAGACAGUUGGAGUUGCUUCAUCAAAAUCAUGCCUUCAUUACUGGCUUCAUUUUGGUUUCAAUGUCUGUUCUACCCUUAAAUUGGGUCUCUGCUUACUACCGGGAUAUCCUUUAGCGUCCUGCAAUUCUACUAGAUUAAAGAGAAUGACUUAAUUCUGCAUUCUGCCGUCCCUAGUCCAAGUGGUACUAGAAUUGAUGUUUCCUUUAGUGUCCUUUCUUCAUACUUUCAGGUUCUUCCCUUGUUUCAAUAAUGCUGUUUUCCUUCAUGUUUAACCUCUGUUGAACCACUUAAAACAACACAAUUUGCACACCAAUGUUUCUUUACAGAAAAGACUGUUUGCAAAAAUGCACAUGUUAUAAGGUUAAUGGAAGAAUUAAUUUGGGGAUAAGGGACUAGGAUUGGGCCAAUGAAGUUUGGUGUUAAAUUUUGAUUAUGAUUGCUUUUCAUUAUCAGGUACCUUAUAUUUGCUGAUGCUAUCUGGAACUAAAUUCAAAUCAGACAUUAUCCGAUUACUAACAGGACAUAUCAUGUCCCUCUGCAGAGUUUCUAAACUAACAUGUAUCGAAAUGUGGCCCCAAAAGGAAGGCUAGGAAGAUGGAGGAUUUUGUAGGAAUCGACCAGAAUCAGAUGGAAGAGAGAUAGUCCUGUUGACUUUAAUGGUUGUGAUAGGAACAUGCAUCAUUAUAUGAGAAGUUGCAUGAAUUUAUGUAUCCUGUUAUCGUUCCUUGACGAUUUCCCAAUGCAAUUUCACUGUCCACAAGACUAACCUCUCCAUGCAGUCAAAUGAAUUGUAAUUUCUCUAUUGGUACCAGUAGUACAUUUCAUACCAAACAUAUAGUAAAUAUAAAAUAUAAAUAGAUCAAGGAAAUCUGAAUUGUAGAUAGCACUGCAAGUAACACUCAAUAUUCUCUAUAUAUAAUAAAAUAAACAGUGUCACAAUACUCAUCACCCAGUGGCAAGGGAGAAAAACCUACAAUGAGUACUCAAAUCACCAUUCUCAAACAGAAACAUAGCAGUGACUGAUACAUAGAACCUAUAUGCUCACAGGGAAAGAAUAAGAUGACCAGUGCACAGCGGGCAGCAGCUCUUAUUUUACGUACAACUCAAAUCCCAAACUAACCAAAGUCGCUCAGUUGGGAUGGGUGGGAGAUGGUGGUUUGUGGGAUGGCUUCUGGGUAGGAGCUGGUGGCUUCUGUCCCUUUGGUGGUUUGCCUAAUGAGCUUGGUGGCUUGUGCUCCGGGAGUUGUUUCUCUCCCUCGAGUAGGUUUCGAGUCUUGUCAGAUGGCUUGUGUUCUGGUGGUGGCUUCUCUCCCUGGGGUGGUUUGCCGAAUGGGCUUGGUGGCUUGUGUUCGGGGAGUGGCUUCUCUCCCUGGAGAAGGUUACGAGUUUUGUCAUAUGGCUUUUGUUCUGGUGGUGGCUUCUCUCCCUGGGGUGGUUUGCCGAAUGGGCUUGGUGGCUUGUGUUCGGGGAGUGGCUUCUCUCCCUGGAGAAGGUUACGAGUUUUGUCAGAUGGCUUGUGUUCUGGUGGUGGCUUCUCUCCCUGGGGUGGUUUGCCGAAUGGGCUUGGUGGCUUGUGUUCGGGGAGUGGCUUCUCUCCCUGGAGAAGGUUACGAGUUUUGUCAGAUGGCUUUUGUUCUGGUGGCGGCUUCUCUCCCUGGGGUGGUUUGCCAAAUGGGCUUGGUGGCUUGUGUUCGGGAACUGGCUUCUCUCCCUUGGGAGGUUCAGUUGGUGGCUGCUGUUCCGUAGGUGGUUUCUUCACCGGCGGCUUGUGCUCCGGAAGCGGCUUCUCUACCUGGAGAAGCUUACGAGUUUUGUCCGAUGGCUUGUGUUGUGGUGGUGGCUUCUCUCCCUGGGGUGGUUUGCCAAAUGGAGUUGGUGGCUUGUGUUCGGGGAGUGGCUUCUCUCCAUUGGGAGGUUUAGUUGGUGAUUGGUGUUCCGUAGGUGGUUUCUGAAGUGGGGGAUGCUUGGGGUAGUCAGCAAGAGACGAGGUAGUGAGAACCACCAGUCCCAGCAGCAACACUAGCAAGCAUGUGGAAGACAUCUUUGAGUUCAGGCUGAGAUCUGUGCAAGGAUAACAGAAUUAGGUGGCCUUUUAUAGAGGCCUGGACCCAACACCCAUAUGACACGUGUCAUGCACUCAUGGUGACACAUAAUUCUAUGGGACCAUUUGGGUCCUACAGAAGUUGCAAAGUUGGACUACUGAGGUGUGAUCACAACUUUUGUCCUUAUUGCUUUCUCUGCGGCCAUUGCACGAUUUCCUUUAGCAUCAUUUUCUUGGCUAAAUAAGCGUAUUAUAUUUGUGGCAGACCGUCCACGUGUCAUAAACAGAUAUAUUAUAAUAAUGUAGUAUGCUUUUCUCCAAUGGAACAUGACACUCUUCUAAGUCUUGUUUUAAAUAUUGUGCAGGAUUACUUUAUACGUUGCAGUUCCAAGUCAAAAUUGGUGGGCAAACGUUGGCCUUUUUUCAUUUCACCUAAGAUUAAUGCUCACCUGGGAUAGGCACUACAUGACUUAUCUGCUCUUUUACUGUAAAGUUGCUUUGUGUAUGAGAUACACCUCCCCUGCACACCCUCAACAUUCGUUGCUCUGUUUUCCUUGUGUCCAGACGAGGAUAUUAAUUGGAGGCUGACAAAACGACUGCUAGCCCAGGAUUUACAAGGUCCUGGUUUGAGGCUUCGGUGAAAGUAUUUUUGAAAAGACACACAUAGAGAUAGUGCGUUUGGUGCAAUGCAGCACUGUGAGCCAUUCUGACGCGUUCUUAAUUUCAAAACUAAUGAAUGCUUCAAAAUUUUAAGAAGUGACAUUUCCAAAUAUUUGAGUUCGUUUAAUUGAACAUUGGAUAACUAGUGAUCAUAGAUUAUUAUCUGUGCUUGGCACUAUAAGAGGGUAUAUGCUUCUUUUUCUGGCCCCUCCUUCAAGGGAGGAGGGACAAUGUGAUCUGUAACGUUAGAAGCUAUUCCAUGUCAUCUUUGGGCUCAGUUCAAAACUAAAAGAUAAUGGGGGGGGGGGGGGGGGGCAUAUCAUUUUAUAUUUCUUCUAGAAGGUUUGUUCUGGAAAUAUUUCACAGGAGCAUAUCUUUUUCUUCUAUUACGUCAUCCGCAGCCUCCAAUAGGUCGGUUAACAAGCCACCGAGUUGAAAAGUUGGAAAAAUGGGAACACAGCCCGCCUCUUGUAUUCAGUAGUUAAAUAAAAGGUCACUAGAAGUGAGAUCCCUUUUGGCGUCUUGAUUUUCAAUCCAGCACCUCUGUGACCUGACAAACCAAAAAAACUAAAAAAUAAAAAACAGUACGUGGGUUGGUGUUAAGCAUCAAGACAUGUUAAUGAAAGAAGGUAGAGAAUAGGAUAUUGAAAUCCCAAUCCUGAUAACAUGAUUUUCUUUGCUAACAACCAUAUUAUAUUUUAUCAAGAAAGAGUAAUGCAUGUGGCGUCCAUCAAGACCCAUUAGAGUUCCGCUAAAGCUAUAGUUCUGUCAACGUUAUCAUUUACGUUUCCUCUAGAUAAUGGCAUUUUCCUCUAAAGCUCUUGCACCAUUAGGCUUCAAGUCAAAAUUUCACAUGUGAACUUUGGAAAUUUUCUCCAUUUGCCCCUAAGGAUACAGUUAGAAUUGACUUAAAAUCCUGAUUGAUAUGUACUAUUAACCAAAGAAUAUUGUAUAUAAUAAUUGAAAUAUUGUUGAUUCAUCGUGGAAAUACAUUUUGUAAGGAAAGUUGUUGAGAAUUUAGUAUGCUAUAUGGAGAAAAAAGUCAUGACUUAAGGUUGUGUAUGUAUAUUCUAUAUCAAAUAUUAGGUAGGAAUGUGGGAAAGAGCAGAGUGUAAUGAUAAGAAACAAAGAAAUAUAAGAUAUUCUUGAAAGUGGAAAAUAUAAAAUGGCUAACGAGUCAAAUUUAUGAUGCGUAAGGGGGAUCAUGUCACAUAAGAAAACCAUGGCAUACUAAAGACGUACGUGUGGUAUGGAGUAAUAAUUUUGUUAAAAUAAGUUUCUUGUUGGAGUACAUUAGGUGACUAUUCAUAACGUAUCAAAUUAAAGAGUCAAGUGCAUCAAUGAAGGCAUAUGUAGAAAAUUUGUUUGUGACAUGUACCAUAAAGAUAAGAUUGACUUGAUAGAAUUUAGUCUAAGUAGGAGUUGUUAAAGGUGUCUUAAAUUUCUAAUUGAUGUAUAUUUUUUUCUAAAAAAAUAUUAUAUAGAUAUUUUAAUAAAUGAUUAAUUCUUUGUAAAAAUACUUACAUAAUAAAAAACAUCAUUAAAAAUAUCUUUAUAAAUAUUUUAAGUUACAAGAAGGAAAAAAACCACUGUGAGAUAAUGAUGAACAUGCAACACUGUACCAAGUAAAUAAAAAUGUGAUAAAAAAAAAAGAGAAACACUCGAUAAAGGAAGGCUCGUAUAUAAAGAGUAAUAUUUUUAAUCAUAUGAUAGAAUGAUUUUCUCUCAUUCAUGAAUAUAGGCAAGAUUGGGGAACCAUUAUAAAAUUUUGUACACCUCGUGUAAAUUGAUGUUUGUCUUCAUAUUUUACACCAACAAAUGACAUUGAAGUUGUCAUUGAUAAAAGGGAAAAGGCAUGCCUCCACACCAUGUGCUUGAUUCGAAUGGUUCAAGUUUGAAGAAUUUUCUCCGGAAGAUCUAAAACAUUUUCGCCUUUAAAUUUCAUUUGAUUAUUAAUAUCCGAAAAAAUAGUUAAAUACUCUUUCUAUUUUUGAGUUGUUGAAUUUUUUGAAAGUUUUUAUAUUUGUUAUCAAGAAUUUCUAUUUUAUUAAGGGUGAAUAUUUAUAAAUAAGAUAUUAUAUAAUAUUUGGAUAAGAGAGAAUGGUGGAAUAUAAUAAAGUUUUAAUCCUUCCCAAUUUUGAACCUUUUUUUUUUUUUUUGAUAUAAUCGCCUUUCUCUUGCAAUCCUAUUAUCAGGUACCUUAUAUUUGCUGAUGCUAUCUGGAACUAAAUUCCAAUCAGGCAUUGUCCAAUUACUAAUAGGACAGAUCAUAUCUCUCUGUUUCUAAACUAACAUGUAUCGUAAUGUGACCUCAUAAGGAAGGCUAGGAAGAUGGAGGAUUUUGUGGGAAGCGACCAGAAUCAGAUGGAAGAGAGAUAGCCCUGUUGACCUAAUGGCUGUAAUAGGAGAAGCGUGUGGUUUUAUGGGACUUAACUGAUACUAAACCUGUAUGAUGCUUGGAGUGGUGUUUCUUUCAUUUUGUUAAGAAAAUAUGGCAGCAUACAUGCUUUCAACUGAGUGCAUCAGAGCAUCCAUAACAGAUGGUCUGCAACCCUAGGUGCAUGCCACUUUCUGACUGAUAAUGAAAUUGUCAGGUACCUGGCCUUGACUAAGCUCAACAGCAUCACAUAAAGAGAAGCUUUCAUACUUAGAUUACUGUUUAAAGUUUUUGCUUAUUUGAUUUCUUAAUGCCAUUAUGACAUUAUUGAUUCAAUUCUGCUUCCGAUUUUCGAAGUUCUGGGCAUCUACUGAUUGCAUCAUUAUAUGAGAAGUUGCAUGAGUUUAUGUAUCCUGUUAUUGUUCCUUUGCGAUUUCACUGCUCACGGGACUAACCUCUCCAUUCAGUCGAAAUGAAUUGUAAUUUCUUUACUGGUAGCAGUAGUACUUUUCAUAGCAAAGAUAAUAGAAAAUAUGAAAUAUAAAUAGAAGGAAAUCUGGAUUGUAGAUAGCACCAUAAGUAACACUCAAUAUUCACUACAUAAUAAAUAGACAGUGUUACAUAGGUAGAGAAACCUACAAUGAGUACUCAUCACCAUUCUCAAACAGAAACAUAGCAGCGACUUAUACAUAGAACCUAUAGGCUCGCAGGGAAAGAGUAACAUGAUAAGUUCACAGCGGGUAGCAGCUCUUAUUUUACGUAUUACUCAAAAUCUCAAACUAACCAAAGUCACUCAGUUGGGAUGGGUAGGAGAUGGUGGUUUGUGGGGUGGCUUCUGGGUAGGAGCUGGUGGCUUCUUUGUUGGAGUUGAAGGAGGCAUAUUCUUCUGAGGUGGCUUGUAUGACUCUUCGGCACUCUCUGCAGGAGGGUGCCCAGGGUUGUGACCAGAAGGAGGUGGCUUCUGUCCCUUUGGUGGUUUGCCUAAUGGGCUUGGUGGCUUGUGCUCCGGGAGUUGUUUCUCUCCCUCGAGUAGGUUUCGAGUUUUGUCAGAUGGCUUGUGUUCUGGUGGUGGCUUCUCUCCCUGGGGUGGUUUGCCGAAUGGGCUUGGUGGCUUGUGUUCGGGGAGUGGCUUCUCUCCCUGGAGAAGGUUACGAGUUUUGUCAGAUGGCUUUUGUUCUGGUGGCGGCUUCUCUCCCUGGGGUGGUUUGCCAAAUGGGCUUGGUGGCUUGUGUUCGGGAACUGGCUUCUCUCCCUUGGGAGGUUCAUUUGGUGGCUGGUGUUCCGUAGGUGGUUCCUUCACCGGCGGCUUGUGCUCCGGAAGCGGCUUCUCUACCUGGAGAAGCUUACGAGUUUUGUCAGAUGGCUUGUGUUGUGGUGGUGGCUUCUCUCCCGGGGGUGGUUUGCCAAAUGGACUUGGUGGCUUGUGUUCGGGGAGUGGCUUCUCUCCAUGGGGAGGUUUAGUUGGUGGUUGGUGUUGCGUAGGUGGUUUCUGAAGUGGGGGAUGCUUGGGGUAGUCAGCAAUAGACGAGGUAGUGAGAACCACCAGUCCCAACAGCAACACUAGCAAGGAUGUUGAAGACAUCUUUGAGUUCAGGCUGAGAUCUGUGCAAGGAUAAAAGAUUUAGGUGGCCUUUUAUAGAGGGCUGGACCCAACACCCAUAUGACACGUGUCAUGCACUCAUGGUGACACAUAAUUCUAUGGGACCAUUUGGGUCCUACAGAAGUUGCAAAGUUGGACUAUUGAGGUGUGAUCACAACUUUUGUCCUACUUGCUUUCUCUGCGGCCAUUGCACGAUUUCCUUUAGCAUCAUUUUCUUGUCUAAAUAAGCGUAUUAUAUUUGUGGCAGACCGUCCACGUGUCAUAAACAGAUAUAUUAUAAUAAUGUAGUAUGCUUUUCUUCAACGGAACUUGACACUCUUCUAAGUCUUGUUUUAAAUACUGUGCAGGAUUACGUCAUAAGUUGCUUGUUCCAAGUCAAAAUUGGUGGGCAAACGUUGGCCUUUUUUCAUUUUCCCUAAUAUUAAUGCUCACCUGGGAUAGGCACUACAUGAUUUAUCUGCUCUUUUACUGUGAAGUUGCUUUGUGCAUGAGUUACACCUCCCCUGCACACCCUCAACAUUUGUUGCUCUGUUUUUCUUGUGUCCAGACGAGGAUAUUAAUUGGAGGCUGACAAAACGACUGCUAGCCAAGGAUUUACAAGGUCCUGGUUUGAGGCUUUCACGAAAGUAUUUUUGAAAAGAUACACAUAGAGAUUGCGCGUUCGGUGCAAUGCAACAAUGUGAGCCAUUCUGAAGUCUUAAAUUUCAGAUUAAUGAAUGCUACAAAAUUCUAAGAAGGGCCGUUUCCAAAUAUUUGAGUUCAUUCAUCCGAACAUCGGGUAUAUGCUUCUUUCUCUAGCCCCUCCUUGAAGGGAGGAGGGACAAUGUGAUCUGUAUCGUUAGAAGCUAUUCCAUGUCGUCAUCUUUGGGCUCAGUUCAAUACUAAAAGAUAUGGGCGGGGCCCUUAUCAUUUUAUAUUUCUUCUAGAAGGUUUAUUCUGGAAAUCUUUCACAGAAACAUAUCUUUUUCUUCUCUACGUGAUCCGUGGUUUGAAAGUUGGAAAAAUGGGUCCGUUAACAAGCCACCGAGUUGAAAAGUUGGAAAAAUGGCAACACCGCCAACCUCUUGUAUUCGAUAGUUAAAUAAAAGGUCACUGGAAGUGAGAUCCCUUUUGGCCUCUUGAUUUUCAUUCCAGCAUCUCUAUGGCCUGAUAAAUUAAAAAACUAAAAAAAAAGACAGUACGUGGGUUGGUGUUAAGCAUCAAGAGUCAAGACAUGAUAAUGGAGAGAAAGGAUAUUCAAAUUCCAGUUCUGACAACAUGAUUUUCUUUGCUGAACUACCAUAUUAUAUUUGAUCAAGAAAGAGUAGUGCAUGUGGCCAGGAUCAAGACAUACAUUAAUUUCCACAUGAUGAAGACAGUUUCUGAGAGUUUCUUCUAAAGCUCUUGCGCGAGUAGGCUUCAAGUCAAAAUCUCCCAUGUAAACACUGGUUUUUCUUUCAUUGCCACUAAGGAUGCAGUUAAUAUUGACUUAAGAUCCUACGUGAUAUAUUUUUUUAAAAGAGCUAUAUUGUAGAUAAUAUUUGAAAUAAUGUUGAUUCGUUGUGGAAAUAUAUUUGUAAGGAAAGUUGUUGACAAUUUAAUAUAGUAUAAGAAGAAAAAAGUUAUCAACUAGCUAGAGAUGAGUAUGUAAAGUGAGGCUCACGAUUCAACGCGUAAAUAUAAGAUAUUUUAAGGCUCAAUAGUUAUGAUAUCUAUUUUAUUUUUUGUAUCUCAUAUAUUCAAAGAUAUAGUAAAAUGAUUUUACAUAUAUAUAUAUAUAUAUAUAUGAACAUAACUAUUUGUGCCAAUUGAUUUUUAUCUUUAUUUUGUAUAUUAGUAAUUAUAUUAAAGUUUUUACUAAUAUAAUAACUAAUAUAAAAGCUUUUUCUAAAAGAGUCAACAGAGCAAAACACUUAUUAUAAAAAAUAAUUUUGAUUGAAGGUGGAGUCAAUUAUUCUUUAUUUAACAUGUAAUGCAUACGGCGUGUACUUCAUAACUAAAGUAUAUAAGUGUAACAUCUCUUAUAUAUUCUCAUUCAAUCUCGAAAGUGGAAAUUUUAAAAAGAUUAAACGGUUCAAAUUUGUCGUGCAUAAAGGGGAUCAUGUCACAUAAGCAAACCAUGGCAUACCAAAGACAUAGGUAUGGACUAAGAAUUUUUUUCAAAUAAGUUUCUUAUUAGGGUACAUUAAUAGGUGACUUUUUAUGACAUAUCAAAGGAGUCAAGUGCACCAAUAAAAACAUAUAUAGAAAAUUCAUGCAUGACAUGUAUCACUAAGAGAAGAUUGACUUGAUAGAGUUUAAUCCAAAUAGGAGAUUGUUAAAAGGUGUCUCAAAUUCUUGAUUGAUAUAUAUUUUUUUUAUUAAAAAGGUUAUUAUAUAGAUAUUUCAAUAGACUAUUAAUUCUUUGUAAAAAUAGUUAUAUAAUGAGGAUGGUGAUUAAAAAUAUCUCUAUCAAUAUUUUGGAUUAUAAAAAGAAAAAAAAUGAGAUAAUGAUAAACAUAUAAAACUUGUACAAGUAGAUAAAGAUGUGAUGAAAGACACUUGAUGAAUGAAGGCUUUGUAUUUCAAGAUAUAAAUAUAUGGAGCAAAACUCUUAAUUAUAUGAUCAAAUGAUUCUCUCAUAUUCAUGAAUAUAAGCAGGAUUGGGGAACCAUGAUAGAAUCUUAUAUGCCUCUCCAUGUAGAGUGAUCGAUGUUUAUCUUCAUAUUUUACACCAGUGAAUGACAUUGAAACUCUUAUUGAUAAAAGGGAAAAGGCAUGGCCUCCACCCCAAGAAAAACAAGUAACCUCGGUUUAAAUCACUAGUCUACACCCCGAAGAGAGAACUAGCCAAACCUACUAAAAGAGAAACUUAACAAUUUAGAAAGAAACCGUCCAUGAUAAAGGGCCCCUAAAGGUCCAAUUCAGUGAGGUCGUGAACAAAAACACUUUCAUGUCAAAACAGAGAUAGGUACCACCAAAAUGUAAAGGGAAAGAUGUAAACCACGUCGAACUUUGGUAAUCAAUGGUAAAGAUAGCAUGAUAGCUAAAAGCACUAAAGCUGUGCUUGGUAUGCAAAAAUGAAAAGUGGAAAUCAGCGUCUUAUUCUUUUUCACCUUUAUUCACAUAUUAGGAUAACUAAUAUCUAAUGUUUUUUAUGUCUCAAAUUCUAUUCCAUGUUAUGGUAAACUUUCAUCUUGUUUAGAUCACUUUUGUCUGGUUUGGGCUCAAGACGAUAAGCCUAUAGAGACUUCAUAUUGGGUUGAAUCGAUGCCCUUGAUCUGAUCUGUUCGUUAGAAAAAUCUGAAUUAUUAUAAGCAUUUAGAUAAAAAAUAAAUAAAUGUGAAACACAAACUACUCCCUGCACAACCUUGACCCUAGUUACUCAGUUUCACUGCUCACAGGACUAACCUCUCCAUUCAGUCGAAAUGAAUUGUAACAAGAAGAUUUUUGACAGGAGGACGGUAGUUUAAAAUAAUAAUUUCUAAAGUACUUUUGUGAAAAAAAAUAAUUCCAAACGUGGAUUUUAUCAAGUAAAAAGAAAAAAAAAAGUUAUUUUCUUUUAAAAUCUGUUCUUCUAAAGAUGAUAUAUAUACCAAAAAAAAAAAUUGUUUUCUGAAGGUAAAAUUUUUAAAAUUCAUUUUUAAAAAAAUUUACACACUAAAAUUAUCUUUUCAAGAGAAGAUUUUUUUAAUUUUAAAUAAUUAUUAAUUUAUAAUUAAUUUGUUAUUAAUUAUUUAUUAAUUUUUUUAUUUGAAAAAUGCAUUUAUAAAAAACAAAUUUGUUAUUAAUUUAUUAAAUAAUUUUUACAAAAUAAAUAAUUUUUUUUUAUUUUAAUUUUAAAAUUAAUUUUAUUAUAUAAAUUUUAAAAUUAAAAAUAUUAAUAUUUAAUUUAAAAUUUAACUAUAAAAGGAAUAAAAUAUAGAAAAAUAAAUUAAUUUAUUAUUCAAUAAAUUAAUUUUCAAUAAAAUUUUCAGCAUUAAGAGAUAAAUUUUUAAGUAUUAAUCAAUUUAAAAAGAAAUAAUGAUCAUUUGUAUAUUAAGAUAUUUUAUUUAGUAAUUAUGAAUGAUAAACAACUAAAGUAAUUUGAAAAAAUAAUAAAAUAUUUAAAAAAUAAUAAUUUAAUACACGUAAAAUUAGAAAUGAUUAACUAUUUUUUAUUAAGAAAAAAUUGAGGAAAUAUUUUGUUAUUUAAAAUUUUUUAUUUGUUUUCAAUUUUUAAUGUUAUAGGUUUCAAGAAAAUUGAUCAAAUAAAAAUUAAGAAGUCAUUUUUUCAAAAACUAUAUAUCUAAAUAAAAGCCUUGAAAUUCAAAUACACAAUAUCAUAAAUAUAAACACCAAGUCAAUCCUUAAUUAUCAAAUGUUUUUAAUAUUAAAGAAUCAAAAUCACCUACUAUCAUGAUAAUAAGAAAACCAAUAAUAUUGUUCAUAUAAAUACUAAAAAGCUAACAAAUAUCCCAAACAAUUAAUAAAGUAUCAAACAUGAUAAAAAGUCAAUUAUUAUCAUGAAUGCAAAAAAUCAAUAAUUUUGUUUAUAUGAACCAUCAACAAAGAAAAAAAAAAUCAAUAUCUAAAUAUUAAACAUAAUUUAUAUUUUUAUAAAUAUUAUUGUUGAUAAAUAUCUUAACAAUUAUAAUUUUAGUAAAUAAAAUUAAUUAAUUUUAGUUUAAGAAUUAUUUUUUUAUACUUUCGUAUUCUUAUCAAAAAUCCCCAUUUUGCAUGUCUCCUUUGGCAUGACUUUCUUACCUAAACAAGCAUAUAUAUAUAUAUAUAUAUAUAAAAUAUUUGGUUAAGAAAGAGUACUAAAGUUUAUAUGGCACACAUCAAGAUAGAAACAGAAGUGGAAGAUAAUCCAAAUGUAUGAACAGAUAUAUUAUAUCCAUGUAGUGGUAGUGACUUCAUUAUUUACUUUUAUCUAAUGGAGCAUGACACACUUCUUCUGAAUAUUUUGCACGAUUAUGUUAUGUGUCAGCUUGUUCUAAGUCAAAACUAGUGAUAAAAAUCGGUUUUUUUUGCAUUUCCUUCAUGAAGAUGGCACCUGGAUGGGGCACUACAUGAGUGGCAUAGCACGAAGUGAUUUAUCUGCUCCCUUUACUAUAAAGUGCUUUGUGUAUAAGUUACACCUCCCCUGCACUGCCUCAACAUUUGUUGUUCUGUCUUCCGUCUGUCCAAACGAGGACAAACGUAUGUUGUAGGUUGACAAAACCACAGCUAGCCUAGGAUUUGCAAGGAUCUAGUUUGAUUCGUAUGCAAAAGGAUUGGUGAAAAGAUUCACAAAGAUAAUGCUUUUUGCAAUGCAAUCUUGUUCUAAUUCAACAGUGUGGACCAUUUUCAUGUAAUGCUUCAACUAGAUGUCAGUUUCAUGAAUUUUUGUUCAUCUAAUUGAUCACUGGAUAGGCCAUAACCCGAAGAAAUUCAAAAUUCCCUUCAGUACUGUAGCUAAGGAAAGAUCCCUAUCUACCACUGGGAUUUUAAGAGGGUAAAAAUGUAGGUGGGUGCCUAUAUCAUUUGCACUUCACUAUAGGCCUCUUUGGGAAGAUUUCUUCUGAAGACAUUUCAAAGAAACAUAUUUUUCUCUUCUCUCCGUAAACGGCAGCUGCAAGUCAGUCCAUUCACAGGCCACCGAGUUGAAAAGGCUGGAAAAUUGGCCAAAGCACCCGCCUCCUGGAUUCCAUGGGUAAGGAAAAGGUCACUGGAGGUGUGAUCCCUGUUGGCCUCUUGAUUUCCAUUCCGCCAUCUAUAUGACCUGAUAACCCAAAAACACAGAAGGAAAACGUCACCUGGGUUCAUAGUAAGCAUCAAGUCAUGAUAGAGACCAGACAACAUGACCAACAAAGAGUAGCGAAUGGGGCCAACAUCAAGCCCCAUUACGGUUAGAAGAUGGAAGAAGUAGAAGACAAUCCAAUUCUGAUAGAUUCGGGCAAAUGUAGUGCUGUUCAAACUUAAUCAUUUACUAUUUCUUCAUGAAUCACGGCAUUUUUCUUCUGAAAAUUUUCCAAGAUUAGGCCUCUGAAGAAAAAUUUCAUAUGUAAAUUGGUAUAUUAAGGAAAAGGCGUUACAAAGGUGAAAAAAAACCAAUCAAAUCUUAUAUAUGACAUCUCAAAAAUAUGAACUUGCUAUAAAUAUUUAAAAUCAAAAUCUUGCACAUCACCUCGUAGUACGAACUUGCUAUAAAACUUGAAAAUCAAGAAGAAAGGGGCAGUAUUGGACGAGACUACUUAGCACAUAUUAUUAUGAUGUUUUUUCAUUUUCUUAAUGUUGUUUUUAUGUCUUAAAUUCUAUUAUUCUAUGUUACGGUAAACAUUCAUCUUGUUUGUGUGGAAUAGGAUCACUUUUCUCUGGGUUGAGUCGAUGCCCUUAGUUAAUUUGUUCAUUUGAAUAAACUAAAUUAUUAUAAGUAUUUAGAUAAGAAAAACGUGAUACAUAAAUUACGCCUCUCGGCACAACUUCAACACUGGUUACUCUGUUUCAGUUUCCUCACACAAGAUUAUUGGUUCUAGGGUUUAUUUGGUUUUGGUUUGAUUCUAAUUGCUAAACUUUCUCAAGGAAGAUGUUAUAUAGGGAGUGAGAAACCUUCACUCUUGGCUACCUCCAAGAGAAGAGCAAGUGGUCUGAAUCAAAGAUAUACUGCUCACUUUUUCUUCUUCUAAGGACAGCUAUGACCUUGCUUUAAGGUUCGAAUAGCCUAAUGCAACCUCCCAUUUCUCAAGUCAGCUGAUGAUGUAAGUCACCUUGGCUUUCCACAUUCAUACGGUGAGGACGUUUGUGGGUGUAAUUCUCUUAACAGUUUUCAUUUUAUAUGGAAAAAUUCAUAAUUAAGGGUAAUUACUGAUUCCAUUUGACAGUGACCAAGUUUAAAAUAUUAAUUCAUAUAUUAAAUGCACAUUAAAAAAUCAUGGAAUAAAUAUAUUUACUAAUAUAUAGUUCUUUUGCCAUGUUCUGUCACAGAAGCAUCGAACUUUCCCUAGAAAUUUUUGCAUGGUAUUCUACUUAUGAUUUUGAAAACUCUAGGCACCUGAGGCCACUAAUUGCAUGGUUGGAUGAGGAGCUGCAUGAGAUUAUGUAUCGUGUUGUUCCUUAACUACAAAUAUCAGUUUUAAGUAGCAUCUCCAUGUGACAUUUUCCUGAUGCAAUUUCGCUGUCCACCAACAAAUUUCACCAUGCAGCAAGAUGAAUUGUAAUUUCUUUAUUGUUAUCAACAGCUUUAAUUAAUCUUGAUAUAUAUAUAUAACUUAGUAGAAGUAUAUUAAUCUAGAUUGUAGUUGCACUAAGAUAAUAGGCAAUAUUAUAACAGUGCCACAAUGCUCAUCGCCAAAUAGAAAGGUAGAAAAACUACAAUGAGUAACUCACAACAUUCUCAAACAGGACAUAGCGGCGACUGAUACAUAGAACACUAUUGGCACUCAGGAAAUGAUAAGAUCAGUGCCCAGCAGGCAGCACGUCUUAUUUUACAUACUACUUAAAACUAACCAAAGUCAUUCAGUUGGGAUGGGUGGGAGAUGGUGGUUUGUGCGGUGGCUUUUGGGUAGUUGGUGGCUUCUUUCCUGGAACUGAUGGUUUUUUUGUUGGAGUUGAAGGAGGCUUAAUCGUCUGAGGUGGCUUGUAUGAGUCUUCAGCACUCUCUGCGGGAGGGUGCCCAGGGUUGUGACCAUAAUGGGGUGGCUUCUCUCCCUUAGUUGGUUUGCCAAGUGGGCUGGCUGGCUUGUGCUCCGGGAGCGGCUUCUCUCCCUUAGGUGGUUUGCCAAAUGGGCUUGCUGGCUUGUGCUCUGGGAGCGGCUUCUCUCCCUCAAGAAGUUUACGGGUUUUGUCAGAUGGCUUGUGUUCUGGUGGUGGCUUCUCUCCUUGGGGUGGUUUGCCAAAUGGACUUGGUGGCUUGUGUUCGGGGAGUGGCUCCUCUCCCUUGGGAGGUUUAGUUGGUGGCUGGUGUUCCAUAGGUGGUUUCUCAACCGGGGGCUUGUUCUCCGUUGGUGGUUUAUGAACUGGGGGAUGCUUGGGGUAGUCAGCAAGAGACGGGGUGGUGAGAACCACCAGUCCCAGCAGCAACACUAGCAAGUAUGUGGAAGAGUACAUCUUUGAGUUCAGGCUGAGAUUUGUGCGAGACUUGAAGAAUUAGGUGGCCUUUUAUAGCUGGCUGCACCCAACACUCACAUGACACGUAUCAUGGUGACACAUGUGCUAUGGGUCCAUUUGGGUCCUACAGAAGCUGAAAACUUUUGACUAUUGAGGUGUGGUCACAACUUUUGUCCCUAUUGCUUUCUCCGCAACCGUUUUACAUGUUUCCUUUGGCAUAAUUUUCUAAGCUAAACAAGCAUAUAUCAUAUUUGGUUAAGAAAGAGUAAAGUGUAUAUGGCACACAUCAAGGAAGAGAAACAGAAAAAGUGGGAGACAAUCAAUUGUGAUAAACAGAUAUAUUAUAUUCAUGUAGUACUAGUGACUUUAUCAUUUACUUUUAUCCAAUAGAUCAUCACUCUUUCUUCUAAAUAUUUUGGAGGAUAAUGGUACAUGUUGCUUGUUUCCAAGUCAAAAUUGGUGGCAAAAAUCGGCAUGAUACGAAAGGAUUGGUGAAAAGAUUCACAUAGAUGGUGCUUUGUGCAAUGCAGUCUUGCUCUAAUUCAACAGAGUGGACCAUGGUGAUGUAUUUUAAAUUUUAAAUUUUAAAUUAAUGCAUGCUUCAAAGUUUUAACUAGAUGUCACUUCCAUGGAUUUUUGUUCAUUUAAUUGAGCACAGGAUAGGCUAUCAAACUUGAAGUAAUAUAAAAAUCCCUUCAUUACUGUAACUAAUGAAAGAUCAUUAUCUGCGCUUGGUAUUUUGCCAAGGUAUUUGCUGCUCUUUCUAGCCCUGUCUUACAGUUAAGGACAAUGUGAUCUAGUUAACCUUAGAAGCUAUUCCAUGUCAGAUACAAGAGAUCAAGCACAUUAUCUUUGGGCUCAGUUCAAAACUAUAAUAUAUGGGUGGGGUGGAGGCCCAUAUCAUUUGCAUAUCACCACUAUUGGUUUAGUUUGGAAGGUUUCUUCUGGAAGAUUGCUGCUUUCUGGAAUCAUUUCAAAGAAAUAUAUCUUUUUGUUCUCUUGGUGACGAGCAGCGGCAAUCAAGUCUGUUGACAAACAACCGAGUUGAAAAGUUUGAAAAUUGGUCACAGCCCACGUCCAUGGUUAAGGAAAAGGUCACUGGAAGUGAUCCCUUCUGGGCCUCUUGAUUUCCAUUCUGACAUCUAUAUGACCUGAUAAAUAGAAAGAAAAAAAAACAGAAGAAAAGCGGCACCCGGGUUCAUAGUAAGCAUCAAGACAGGAUACUGAAAGAAGGGAGAAAGGAGAUUGCAAGUCCAAUCCUGAUAAAAUGAUCAACAAAGAGUAUCAAAAUGGGGCCAACAUAAAGACCCAUUGAGGUUAGCAGAUGGCAUGGCAUUUUUCUCCUUAAGUUUUCCAUGAUUAGACUUGAAGUCAAAAUUUCACAUGUAAAUUUGUAUUUCUACAUUUCCCACUGACGACACCCAACUUCAACUUGAGUUAGAAUAACAUUGUGUGAACUUAUCUGGCCCUCAAAAUUUACUGUGAAGUGCUUUCUGCGUGUGAAGAUUCAGAAAAGCACCAAGGGAACAUGUAUGGUCUGCCUUUUUCUGAUGUUAUGUUUGUCUCUAAUUCUGUUCCAUGUCAUGGUAAAUGUUCACAUUGCUUGUAUGGAACACACCAGGAUCACUUUUUCGGGUUUAUUUUGAGGCUUCAUAUUGGGUUCAUAUUGGGUUCAAUGCUUUUAAUGUGUUCAUUAGACAAAUCUGAAUUAUCAUAUGCAUUUAGAUAAGAACAAUAAUGUGAAACCCUAGUUACACCUCCCCUGCAUAACCCCAACCCUGCUUACUCUAUUUCAGUUUACUCACACAAGUUUUACCGGUUCUUAUAAGUCAAGAAAAGGCAACUGAUGUUGGAUUGACUCUCUUCCAUGUAUAAAAAGCAACUUUUAUAUAUACAUAAAAUAACUUCUUCCCCUCACCAAUGUGGGAUAUCAUGGAUUUAUUCUGGAAACACAUCAAAGGAACAUCUUUUCUCUUGGGUGACCCUAAGUGGUGAGUCAGACCAUUUGCAUGCCAUUGAGUUGCACAGUUGGAUAAAUGCACCUACCUCCUGGGCUCCAGAGUUAAAAGGGUGGAUCCCUGGAUCGCAACCCUCUUGGCAUCUUGGUUUCCAUUCCAACAUCCACAUGACUUGACAAAACAAAAAACAGAAUAAAAUCAUCACUAUUUUCAUGCUAAGCACCAAUACAUGAUGGAAAUCAUUGCUUAAAGAUUUGGGGUCAUUUAGGUUUUGACUGCCUCCUAACACCUCACCUAAUCACAAGUUUUUAUGCUUACAAAUCAAAUAUCGUUCUUCAUUAUAUUAAAAUCAUUUUAAGAUUUCAGAUCCAUCUGCUAAUUAUGAUUAUGAUAACAUUAAUUCACCUGUGCUUCUCAUUUUCGACACACAAGGCAUCUAGGUUUGCAGGAUUUCCUUAUUAGAUGAGAUAAAUGAGUACGCAUGGUUAUGUAUGCAGCAUUCAUUAACCAUGGUAUGUGACAUUUAGAAUUAAGAUAGCAAGCAAACUUUCCCUGCAGCUUGAGUAAAUUGUGAUUUCUUAGCCUCUAUGAGUGGUUCCCAAAUCAAAUUAACAUAGUGAAAUAUACGUAGUCCAGUGAAAGGAAAUGUAAAUUAUAAACUAACAGCACUACACUACUGGUAACACUCGAUACUCUCUAUAUAAUGCAAUGAAAUAUACGUUAUACGUUGCUUGUUCCAAGUCAAAAUUUGUGGCCAAACGUUGGCCUUUUUUCAUUUUCCCUAAGAUUAAUGCUCACCUGGGAUAGGCACUACAUGAUUUAUCUGCUCUUUUACUGUAAAGUUGCUUUGUGUAUGAGUUACACCUCCCCUGCACACCCUCAACAUUUGUUGCUCUGUUUUCCUUGUGUCCAGACGAGGAUAUUAAGUGGGGGCUGACAAAACGACUGCUAGCCAAGGAUUUACAAGGUCCUGGUUUGACGCUUCCGCGAAAGUAUUUUUGAAAAUAUACACAUAGAGAUUGCGCGUUCGGUGCAAUGCAACAAUGUGAGCCAUUCUGAAGUUUUUAAUUUCAGAUUAAUGAAUGCUACAAAAUUCUAAGAAGGGCCGUUUCCAAAUAUUUGAGUUCAUUUAUCCGAACAUCGGAUAAGUAAUGAUCAUAGAUUAUUAUUAUUAUCUGACGUUCUUAUAAUGGUUGGCAUUAUAAGAGGGUAUAUGCUUCUUUCUCUAGCCCCUCCUUCAAGGGAGGGACAAUGUGAUCUGUAUCGUUAGAAGCUAUUCCAUGUCGUCAUCUUUUGGCUUAAGUCAAUACUAAAAUAUAUGGGCGGGGCCCCUGUCAUUUUAUAUUUCUUCUAGAAGGUUUGUUCUGGAAAUCUUUCACCGAAACAUAUCUUUUUCUUCUCUACGUGAUCCGUGGUUGGAAAGUUAGAAAAAUGGGUCCGUUCACAAGCCACCGAGUUGAAAAGUUGGAAAAAUGGCAACACCGCCAACCUCUUGUAUUCGAUAGUUAAAUAAAAGGUCACUGGAAGUGAGAUCCCUUUUGGCCUCUUGAUUUUCAUCCCAGCAUCUCUAUGUCCUGAUAAACUAAAAAACUAAAAAAAAAACAGUACGUGGGUUGGUGUUAAGCAUCAAGAGUCAAGACAUGAUAAUGGAGAGAAAGGAUAUUCAAAUUCCAGUUCUGACAACAUGAUUUUCUUUCCUGAACAACCAUGUUAUAUUUGAUCAAGAAAGAGUAGUGCAUGUGGCCAGGAUCAAGACAUACAUUAAUUUCCACAUGAUGAAGACAGUUUCUGAGAGUUUCUUCUAAAGCUCUUGCGCUAGUAGGCUUCAAGUCAAAAUUUCCCAUGUAAACACUGGAUUUUCUUUAAUUGCCACUAAGGAUACAGUUAAAAUUGACUUAAAAUCCUACGUGAUAUAUAUCUUUAACAAAAGUAUAUUGUAUAUAAUAUUUGAAAUAAUGUUGAUUCGUUGUGGAAAUAUGUUUGUAAGGAAAGUUGUUGACAAUUUAAUAUAGUAUAAGAAGAAAAAAGUUAUCAACUAGAGAUGAGUAUGUAAAGUGAGGCUCACGAUUCAACGCGUAAAUAUAAGAUAUUUUAAGGCUCAAUAGUUAUGAUAUCUAUUUUAUUUUUUGUAUCCCAUAUAUUCAAAGAUACAGUAAAAUGAUUUUAUAUAUAUGAACAUAGCCGAUAGUAUCAUGUUAAAACCUUAUAUGACUCUUUGUGCCAAUUGAUUUUUAUCUUUAUUUUGUGUAUUAGUAAUUAGUAUUAAAGUUUUUACUAACAUAAUAAUUGAUAUAAAAGCUUUUUCCAAAAGAGUCAAACAGAGCAAAACACUUAUUAUAAAAAGAAUUUUGAUUGAAGGUGGAGUCAAUUAUUCUUUAUUCAACAUGUGAUGCAUACAGCGGGUACUUCAUAACUAAAGUAUAUAAGUGCAACAUCUCUUAUACAUUCUCAUUCAAUCUCGAAAGUGGAAAAUUUUAAAAGAUUAAAUGGUUCAAAUUUUCCGUGCAUAAAGGGGAUCAUGUCACAUAACCAAACCAUGGCAUACCAAAGCCAUGAUAUGGACUAAGAAUUUUGUUAAAAUAAGUUUCUUAUUAGGGCACAUUAUGUGACUAUUUAUGACAUAUCAAAGGAGUCAAGUGCAUCAAUAAAGACAUAGAAAAUUCAUGCAUCACAUGUACCACUAAGAGAAAAUUGACUUGAUAGAGUUUAGUCCAAAUAGGAGAUUGUUAAAAGGUGCAUCAAAUUCUUGAUUGAUAUAUAUUUUUUUUAUUAGAAAGGUUAUUAUAUAGAUAUUUCAAUAGACUAUUAAUCCUUUGUAAAAAUAGUUAUAUAAUGAGGAUGGUGAUUAAAAAUAUCUCUAUCAAUAUUUUGGAUUAUAAAAAGAAAAAAAAUAUGAGAAAAUGAUAAACAUAUAAAACUUGUACAAGUAGAUAGAGAUGUGAUGAAAGACACUUGAUGAAUGGAGGCCUUGUAUUUCAAGAUGUAAAUAUAUGGAGCAAAACUCUUAAUUAUAUGAUCAAAUGAUUCUCUCAUAUUCAUGAACAUAAGCAGGAUUGGGGAACCAUGAUAGAAUCUUAUAUGCCUCUCCAUGUAGAUUGAUCGAUGUUUAUCUUCAUAUUUUACACCAAUGAAUGACAUUGAAACUCUGAUUGAUAAAAGGGAAAAAGCAUGGCCUCCACCACAAGAAAAACAAGUAACCUCGGUCUAAAUCACUAGUCUACACCCCGAAGAGAGAACUAGCCAAACCUACUAAAAGAGAAACUUACCAAUUUAGAAAGAAAUCUUCCAUGAUAAAGGGCCCCUAAAAGUCCAAUUCAGUCAGGUUGUGAACAAAAACACCUUCAUGUCAAAACAGGAAUAGGUACCACCAAAAUGUAAAGGGAAAGAUGUAAACCAAGUCGAACUUUGGUAAACAAUGGUAAAGAUAGCAUGAUAGCUAAAAGCACUAAAGCUGUGCUUGGUAUGCAAAAAUGAAAAGUGGAAAUCAGCGUCUUAUUCUUUUUCUCCUUUAUUCACAUAUUAGGAUAACUAAUAUCUAAUGUUUUUUUUAUGUCUCAAAUUCUAUUCCAUGUUAUGGUAAACUUUCAUCUUGUUUAAGUGGAAGAGUAGGAUCACUUUUGUCUGGUUUGGGCUCAAGACGAUAAGCCUAUAGAGACUUCAUAUUGGGUUGAAUUGAUGCCCUUGAUCCGAUCAGUUCGUUAGAAAAAUCUGAAUUAUUAUAAGCAUUUAGAUAAAAUAAAUAAAUAAAUGUGAAACAGAGACUAUUCUCUGCACAACCUUGACCCUAGUUACUCAGUUUCACUGCUCACGGGACUAACCUCUCCAUUCAGUCGAAAUGAAUUGUAAUUUCUUUACUGGUAGCAGUAGUACUUUUCAUAGCAAAGAUAAUAGUAAAUAUGAAAUAUAAAUAUAUAGAAGGAAAUCUGGAUUGUAGAUAGCACCAUAAGUAACACUCAAUAUUUACUACAUAAUAAAAGAGAUAGUGUUACAAAGGUAGAGAAACCUACAAUGAGUACUCAUCACCAUUCUCAAACAGAAACAUAGCAGUGACUUAUACAUAGAACCUAUAGGCUCGCAGGGAAAGAGUAACAUGAUAAGUGCACAGCGGGUAGCAGCUCUUAUUUUACGUAUUACUCAAAAUCUCAAACUAACCAAAGUCACUCAGUUGGGAUGGGUAGGAGAUGGUGGUUUGUGGGGUGGCUUCUGGGUAGGAGCUGGUGGCUUCUUUGUUGGAGUUGAAGGAGGCGUAAUCUUCUGAGGUGGCUUGUAUGAGUCUUUGGCACUCUCUGCAGGAGGGUGCCCAGGGUUGUGACCGGAAGGAGGUGGCUUCUGUCCCUUUGGUGGUUUGCCUAAUGGGCUUGGUGGCUUGUGCUCCGGGAGUUGUUUCUCUCCCUCGAGUAGGUUUCGAGUUUUGUCAGAUGGCUUGUGUUCUGGUGGUGGCUUCUCUCCCUGGGGUGGUUUGCCGAAUGGGCUUGGUGGCUUGUGUUCGGGGAGUGGCUUCUCUCCCUUGGCAGGUUCAGUUGGUGGCUGGUGCUCCGUAGGUGGUUUCUUCACCGCCGGCUUCUCUCCCUGGAGAAGGUUACGAGUUUUGUCAGAUGGCUUCUGUUCUGGUGGCGGCUUCUCUCCCUGGGGUGGUUUGCCAAAUGGGCUUGGUGGCUUGUGUUCGGGAACUGGCUUCUCUCCCUUGGCAGGUUCAGUUAGUGGCUGGUGUUCCGUAGGUGGUUUCUUCACCGGCGGCUUGUGCUCCGGAAGCGGCUUCUCUACCUGGAGAAGCUUACGAGUUUUGUCAGAUGGCUUGUGUUGUGGUGGUGGCUUCUCUCCCUGGGGUGGUUUGCCAAAUGGACUUGGUGGCUUGUGUUCGGGGAGUGGCUUCUCUCCAUUGGGAGGUUUAGUUGGUGGUUGGUGUUCCGUAGGUGGUUUCUGAAGUGGGGGAUGCUUGGGGUAGUCAGCAAGAGACGAGGUAGUGAGAACCACCAGUCCCAGCAGCAAUACUAGCAAGGAUGUGGAAGACAUCUUUGAGUUCAGGCUGAGAUUUGUGCAAGGCUAGAAGAAUUAGGUGGCCUUUUAUAGCGGGCUGGACCCAACAACCAAAUGACACGUAUCAUGAUACACAUAUGUGUUAUAAGAUCCUUGUGGGUCCUACAGAAGUUGAAAACUUUGACAAUUGAGGUGUGAUUACAACUUUUGUCCCUAUUGCUUUCUCGUCAGCCGUUUUGCAAGAUUUUUGACAGGAGGACGGUAGUUUAAAAUAAUAAUUUCUAAAGUACUUUUGUGAAAAAAAAUAAUUCCAAACGUGGAUUUUAUCAAGUAAAAAAAACAAAAAAAAGUUAUUUUCUUUUAAAAUCUUUUCUUCAUGAUUCAUAUACCAAAAAAAGAAUUGUUUUCUGUAGGUAAAAUUUUUAAAAUUCAUUUUUAAAAAAAAAAAAUUACACACUAAAAUUAUCUCUUCAAGAAAAUAUUUUUUAAAUUUUAAAUAAUUAUUAAUUUAUAAUUAAUUUUUUAUUAAUUAUUUAUUAAAUUUAUAUGUGAAAAAUGCAUUUAUAAAAAACAAAUUUUUUAUUAAUUUAUUAAAUAAUUAUUUACAAAAUAAAUAAUUUUGCUUUAUUUUAAUUUUAAAAUUAAUUUUAUUAUAUAAAUUUUAAAAUUAAAAAUAUUAAUAUUUAAUUUAAAAUUUAACUAUAAAAGGAAUAAAAUAUAGAAAAAUAAAUUAAUUUAUUAUUCAAUAAAUUAAUUUUCAAUAAAAUUUUCAGCAUUAAGAGAUAAAUUUUUAAGUAUUAAUCAAUUUAAAAAAUAAUAAUAAUCAUUUGUAUACUAAGAUAUUUUAUUUAGUAAUUAUGAAUGAUAAACAACUAAAGUAAUUUGAAAAAAUAAUAAAAUAUUUAAAAAUAAUAAUUUAAUACACUUAAAAUUAGAAAUGAUUAACUAUUUUUUAUUAAGAAAAAAUUGAAGAAAUAUUUUGUUAUUUAAAAUUUUUUAUUUGUUUUCAAUUUUAAAUGUUAUAGGUUUCAAGAAAAUUGAUCAAAUAAAAAUUAAGAAGUCAUUUUUUCAAAAACUAUAUAUCUAAAUAAAAGCCUUGAAAUUCAAAUACACAAUAUCAUAAAUAUAAACACCAAGUCAAUCCUUAAUUAUCAAAUGUUUUUAAUAUUAAAGAAUCAAAAUCACCUACUAUCAUGAUAAUAAGAAAACCAAUAAUAUUGUUCAUAUAAAUACUAAAAAGCUAACAAAUAUCCCAAACAAUUAAUAAAGUAUCAAACAUGAUAAAAAGUCAAUUAUUAUCAUGAAUGCAAAAAAUCAAUAAUUUUGUUUAUAUGAACCAUCAACAAAGAAAAAAAAAAUCAAUAUCUAAAUAUUAAACAUAAUUUAUAUUUUUAUAAAUAUUAUUGUUGAUAAAUAUCUUAAUAAUUAUAAUUUUUUAUAUAUUAAAUUUAGUAAAUAAAAUUAAUUAAUUUUAUAAUAUAAGAUAUAUAUAAUAAUUAAGAGACUAUUUGUCCCAAACAAUUUAUUUAUUUUUUUUUUAGGAAAUUGUCUCUUCAAGAGACGACUUCUCCCAACAUUUUUAAAAAAAAAAAAAAAAACAUCUAUUCAAAAGACGAUUUCUCCUCAUUUUUUAAAAAUGAAUUUUAGAAAUCAUAUUUUCAAAAAUGAAUUUUAGAAAUCAUAUUUUCAAAAGACGAUUUUUUUUUAUAUAAAUUAUUUUUUAAAAUGACGAUUUUAAAAGGAAAUAACGAUCUCUCUCCUACUUGGCAAAAACUAUGGUAAAUUUGGAAUUAUUUCUUCCACAACCAUAGUUUAAGAAUUAUUUUUUUAUACUUUCGUAGACUUAUCAAAAAUCCCUAUUUUGCAUGUCUCAUUUGGCAUGACUUUCUUACCUAAACAAGCAUAUAUAUAUAUAUAUAUAUAUAUAUCACUUUUGUCUGGGUUGAGUCAAUGCCCUUAACUAAUUUGUUCAUUUGAAUAGUCUAAAUUAUUAUAAGCUUUUAGUUAAGAAAAAUGUGAAACAUAAAUUACACCUCUCGGCACAACUUCGACACUGGUUACUCUGUUUCAGUUUAUUCACACAAGAUUAUUGGUUCUAGGGUUUAUUUGGUUUUGGUUUGAUUCUAAUUGCUAAACUUUCUCAAGGAAGAUGUUAUAUAGGGAGUGAGAAACCUUCACUCCUGGCUACCUCCAAGAGAAGAGCAAGUGGUCUGAAUCAAAGAUAUACUGCUCACUUUUUCUUCUUCUAAGGACAGCUAUGACCUUGCUUUAAAAUGUUCGAAUAGCCUAAUGCAACCUCCCAUUUCUCAAGUCAGCUGAUGAUGUAAGUCACCUUGGCUUUCCACAUUCAUACGGUGAGGACGUUUGUGGGUGUAAUUCUCUUAACAGUUUUCAUUUUAUAUGGAAAAAUUCAUAAUUAAGGGUAAUUACUGAUUCCAUUUGACAGUGACCAAGUUUAAAAUAUUAACUCAUGUAUUAAAUGCACAUUAAAAAAUCAUGGAAUAAAUAUAUUUACUAAUAUAUAGUUCUUUUGUCAUGUUCUGUCACAGAAGCAUCGAACUUUCCCUAGAAAUUUUUGCAUGGUAUUCUGCUUAUGAUUUUGAAAACUCUAGGCACCUAAGGCCACUGAUUGCAUGGUUGGAUGAGGAGCUGCAUGAGAUUAUGUAUCCUGUUGCUCCUUAACUACAAAUAUCAGUUUUAAGUAGCAUCUCCAUGUGACAUUUUCCUGAUGCAAUUUCGCUGUCCACCAACAAAUGUCUCCAUGCAGCUAGAUGAAUUGUAAUUUCUUUGUUGUUAUCAACAGCUUUAAUUAAUCUUGAUAUAUAUAUAACUUAGUAGAAGUAAUUAAUCUAGAUUGUAGUUGCACUAAGAUAAUAGGCAAUAUUAUAACAGUGCCACAAUGCUCAUCGCCAAAUAGAAAGGUAGAAAAACUACAAUGAGUAACUCACACAACAUUCUCAAACAGGACAUAGCGGCGACUGAUACAUAGAACACUAUUGGCACUCAGGAAAUGAUAAGAUCAGUGCCCAGCAGGCAGCACGUCUUAUUUUACAUACUACUUAAAACUAACCAAAGUCAUUCAGUUGGGAUGGGUGGGAGAUGGUGGUUUGUGCGGUGGCUUCUUUCCUGGAACUGGUGGUUUUUUUGUUGGAGUUGAAGGAGGCUUAAUCGUCUGAGGUGGCUUGUAUGAGUCUUCAGCACUCUCUGCAAGAGGGUGCCCAGGGUUGUGACCAUAAUGAGGUGGCUUCUCUCCCUUAGGUGGUUUGCCAAGUGGGCUGGCUGGCUUGUGCUCCGGGAGCGGCUUCUCUCCCUUAG
This 77636-nucleotide long non-coding RNA is filed under the name Vitis vinifera (wine grape). Its description in RNAcentral is "long non-coding RNA (VVIN_LNC001392)". The record is from RNAcentral. Lineage: Eukaryota; Viridiplantae; Streptophyta; Magnoliopsida; Vitales; Vitaceae.